GGAAGAAGAGUUUUCCUUUGGUGUAAGCUGUGUGAAUGGAGAAGGUCAUACAACAACGAUUUUAAUGGUCUAGUGACUUAAAUGAAAGCUUUUGAAAUAUUCGGUGACAAUUUUAUAACUUUUGAAGUUAAGUGUGACCAAAACAUAAACUUAUUAAUAGUUUAGUAAUCUUGGGUAUGGUUUACCCUAAUUUUUUUUUAUGACUCACACACCAUUAGGAGCAAAUUAAUGUCUCGCACACAAACACUUUUAAUAUGUAAUUCUUGCGACUUGAAUCCAUAGUGUAAGUACGAGAGUAAGCUACUAAUUAGCCCAUUACUUCGAAUACUUUAUUUAUUAAUAAAUAAAUACGUAUGAAGGGAAAAAAAACCCCAUGUUUGGUUAACAUAGUAGUCGUAAUUACUAUUCUAAUACAACAAAUUUCAAGAUUUUUAAAACCUUUCCUCUAUUCAAAGUAAUCCAACUAAACAAUAGCGUGGAUAGCUUAGUCAAAUAACCUGAAUCUCUUAGUCAAUACAUGGUUGCUCGCUGUUAUUCCUACCACUUUGUUGGAUAUCUUUACUAAACUUGUCUUCAGUACUUAGGAACAGUUGAACCAAUACGAAAUAUAGACUAUGCUAGACCUGCGAGUUGGGUAGGUUGGAUGAAUCUGGAUAUGGUUAAUUCGAGAGUUAUUCCUAGUAAAAUUAGUUUUGAAAUCGGAUCAUUUUGAGUUUGGGUCAUCUCAAGUUCUGGUCACUUUGGGUUCAAACCAUUUCAAAUUAUUGUCAUUUAAUGUUUGGUAAUUUGGGUUUAAUUUAAUACUCGGAUUAUCUUGAAUCCGAUUAUUUUAAAUUCAAGUUAUUUGUAUUUAUAUUUUAAAAAUAGAAGUACAUGAAUUAUUAAUUGGUUUAAAUUUAUUAUAAAAUUAAUAAUUAUAAAAAUAUAAUAAAUUUAAAUUAAUUAACCUAUAAUCCAAUAUAUAAAAACCAUUAAAAAAGUUGAAAAAAAAUUAUUAUUUAGUUUAUUUUUAAAUUGUCAUUAUAAAUUUUUUAUUGUUAAAAUAACCUUAUCUAAUUUAAAAUUUGUGGGAUAACUAGAAAUUAGUUAGAUUUUUAGGAUUUAAAAUAAUGAAAAAAUAAAAAUAAAAAUGAGCGGAAAAUAUUUUUAGAAUUUUUAAAUAAAACAGAAUCAAAAUAUUGUAACAACUUACAACUUAAAUCAUGUAAUUAAAUUAUAAUUCCAUAAUUGUUAUGAAUUCCUACCAUUAUUUCGGUUAAAAAAAACCUUCAUUCAAUCCAGAUUUAACACGUGUCAUUUUUAAAUAAUAUAAAAUUUUUAGUUAAUAUUAAAUAAUAAUUUAAAUACACAUAUAUUUAAUUUCAUGUAAAUAAUAAUAUAGAUAAAAAUGGCACAUGACAAGUUUUUGUUGAUUGAAGUUUUUUAUAACCGAAGAUAACAAUAUCAUAAUGAUUACGGAAUUAUGAUAUAGUUUGAGCGUUGCUUAUUCUAUUAAGCCUUAUAAGUUAAAUAAUUAUUUAGAAAAGAAAUGUUCGUUUUUCUCUCUUCAAGAGUGAUCUUGCUAUAUUAUAUGGUGGGUUUAUCAUGCACGUGAUUAGAUGUGAAUCUAAACAAGCAGAUAGAAAAUCAUGGAAAAAUUGUAGUUUAGUUUCAUUAUAAGUGAUGAAAUUAUAAGUUAAUAUAUAAUAAAAUUGUACUUUAGCCCCUAAAAUGUAUAAAGUAUUUGUUUAGUCUCUUAAAAACGAUGAAAGCAUAAAUUAAUACAUGAUAAAGUUAUGUUUUAACCUAUUAAAAAUCUACAAUUCAAUUUCAAUCCCCUUAAAAGGAAUUCCUAAAUUUGCCCCCAAGUGUGACACAUAACACACUUAAUUUUUUUCUAAAAAAAAGAUGUGUCAGCCUUUUAUGAAAUCAAGGUUUCGCAUUCAAAAAAAGUAAAUAGAUAGUUCUUUUUUAUAUAAUGCCUAAAAUUAUUCGUAACUCUUCCCUUAAAAAAUGAUAAAAACACAUUUGAAUACUCCCAAACCCGUAUCUUUCUACACUGAUAACAAUAUCAACACCAAUCAAACUAAAAUUCAUUUAACCCAUUUUUAAAAUAUAUAGGUAGAGGGCACGACAAACAUAUAAUAAAAUCUUCAUUUGACACGAUAAUAUCACAAAAACAUCUAUAUACUUUUCUAAAUAUUUAUUUAAUUCAAUGCAUUCUGAUAUUAAAAAAAAAUCCAAGAAAAGCGCGGUGAUGGAAUCCAUUACGGUUAAUGCGAAAAAGAAACGUAUAUUCUCAAUGUUUCUUCCUCCACCUGCAGUCAACGAAUAUGCUUAACUAAACCAUAAUAUCCCCUAAACUAUAAUAUAAAAUAUCCGGUGAUCCGGGCAUAAAAUUAAUAUUUUUUUAAAUUAUUAGUAAGUUUAUAUUUUAGUUAUUAAACUAUGUAAAAGUUUUCAUUUAAGUUACUGAACUAGCGAGCUCCAAACAAUGAUUCGACGAUUAGUAAGACAGAUCAGUAUUUAUGUAGAAGAACAUACUUUAGAUCCAAGUUGAUCUAACGGUUUAUGUCUGAUAUCAAGGAAGAAAAUUGUUUGAAUUUUAGUUUGCAGAUUCGUGACGUUUAAAGUUGUUUUAUGGGAAAAAGAUGAAUUGUGAAAGAGAUCGAGAAUGAUAGCUUUUGAUUAGUAUAGGUACCGCAACAAAGCAACCGUGAUUUUAACAAUUUAAUAACUUAGAUAAAAAAAUUUGAAUAAUUCAAUAAUUAUUUUAUAAUUUUUUAAAAUUUAAUGAUCAAAAUUUAAAUUUUUUAAUAAUUUUGUAAAACAUAUAAUUUAAUCAAGUUCCGUGAUCUUUAUAUUUUUUUUUAUGUAAAAUUAUUCAAAAUAUAUAAAUUUGCUUCAUCUAAAUUAUUAUUAUUAUUAGAUAUUUGAGUGGACCAGGUUGAAUGCCGACCAUUACCCUCUUUCCCACAAAAACCAUAAACCCUGUCUGCGUGUCUUUUUUUUUUUUUUUUGGAAGUAGCAUAAUAUGUUACUAUCUACGUGUCCUUAAGUAAACACAUCUCUCACUGUUCCCCAAUAACUCCAAAAUACAACCCAAUCACCCUUUUCCUUCCCUUUGGUUUUACUCGUAAAAAACCUCAUCUUUUUAUGUUAUGCUAGUGUAUAUUUAGGGGUUAAUAUGUACUUUGCUCUUAAAUUUGUUUAAAAGUAUUUAAUUGAUAUUUUGUUAUGAUCAUUAGUGUUAUGUUAGCACAAACUAAUAGUAGUAGAGUGAAUAUACCAACUUAAGUGACAGAAUAUAAAUUCAAAUACUAACUAAAUAUUUUUGAACAAGUUCAAGAGCAAACUGUAUAUUAACCCUAUAGUUAAUUGUGAUAAUGAAAAAAGGGUUAAUAUAACUUUUAGUCCUGAAUUUUAGUAAUUAGGCCCCUUUUGAUACGCUAACUAAGGGUGGGUUUAGAUGGAUGAUUGGGUGCGGUGCGAUGCGAUGCGUUUAACUUACUUUUUGUCUCACGCUACAGUAUCGCUAUAAUAUCUAAUCUUAUCGCCAUUGUUGUUGUUACACUAACCGCAGAUAAACGCACCGCCCGUUCAAACUCACUCUAAGUCUAUUUUGAUUCUGAAUUUGGUACAUGCUUGAAAUUUAAAAAAAAAAAUUAUUUUUAAAUGAUGACAUGGUACAAUCUUAGAGUGACACAUGAUUAAACUUUUACAUUUAUUAAUUUCAGAGACCAAAUGACUCUAGUUAUCAAAUUCAAAUAACAAAAUAAAUCAAAAAUAUUAAAGUAUCAAAAUAAACGUAACUACAUGACUAAAAAUUAUAUAAACCCAUGAAAAAAAAUCUAAAAACAAGCUUGGUGGUGUUCAAUAAUCAAAAUAAUCUUUUUUAAAGGUGACUGGGGUGUUUAUUUCAUGGGGUCUACCUCUUUCUAAAAGGUGCAUGAUUGCAAAUGCAAACUUAUCCUAUCAACUUUUUUUUUUUUACGUAGCUUAUCUCAAACAUUGUCGUCAUUUGGUCAAAAGCAAAAAGUGAGAAACAACAAUGGCCAAUGAGUUAAACCAAUGAGUCUGCCAUUACCGAGUUGCUUCAAACCAUAAUUGGUACCUUAGCAGCAACGGGUUUCUCCUUAUUUGGGCAAAGGCCAUACUUGGUACAUGAAAUUAGAAUUAUAUAACAUAAUUUGUAUGUCAACCUCGUAUUUUUGGGUAUUGAAAAUUAGAAUUGAUUUCAUAUUUGGCAGUGGCUAUGAAAGAAGCAAAAAUAUGUGGGUAAUUUUGCAAAAGCGACAUUUUUGUUUCAAUGCCAUCAAUGCUCGUAUGAUUAAGAGAGAGAGAAGAGAUUCAUGCAUAAAUGCAUUAAUUAAUGGAGCCCAAUUGAUGAAUGUUAGUAAUUUCUCGAAACUCGUAGAAUCAUCUAUUUACUUUGUAGUUUUAAACAUUUUUGGGAUAUGUGAAACCAAAAUGUGUUAAUAAAAUGUAAUGUUAAAAUAUAUUAUAAGUAGUUGUAUUUUUUUAAAAAUUUAAAAUUUUAGUUUUUUCUUUAUUUUUAUAUUUUAAAAUUUAGAUUUAAUUACUUAUUAUCAUUAUUUUUUUUUGUUAAAUUUAUUAACAUGGUGUUUUAAAAUUUUAAAAUGUAUUUGAUAGCUAUGUAAUUAAAAGGAUGAUGUUGUAAUAAACUUGAAAUUAGAAGGACUAAAUUUUAAAUGUAUAAAGAAUACAAUGAUUUAAACCACAUUUAACCUAAAUAUAAAGACUAUAUAUGAUGAUAUUUAAAUUAGAAUAAAUACACUUUUCAACCUAUAAAUAUGAAGAUAAUACUGUUUAACGCGUGUCCUCCUACAUACCAAUCGUGUUAAGACUCAAUUGACAAACAACAUUAAUUUUUUGAAAACUUUAUUCACACUUUUAAAUAAUAAUACUUGAAUUAAAUAAAAUAUUAAUCCGAGAAAUAAUAUUGAAUGGGUUAAAUUGUCCUUCUUUAUUUUUUUAAAAAAAUUAAAUAAAAUCAAUAAAUAAAUAAUUAGAACAAUUAUGUGAUUCUUCAUGUACUUACAUCAAUUAAUAACGGUGACAAGAAAUUGUUAACCCUUAAAAGCACGUAUGCAUUUCUUGAUGCUUGCUUGCUUAAUAAUAUAUGCCUAUAAAAAAACAUCCCUCCUUACUUCUCCCACCCAAUAUUCUCUCUAAAUUACCAAAUGCGACAACCGCCGGCGCCACCAGUUUCUUCCGGCGAACCGCCGCGAAUGUCUUCCACUUCAAACUCAACCUGUAGUCCCAACAUUUGCAGGUGGCAACCAUACUCGGACUCGAGUGAUUUUCAAGAUAACGUUGCCAUGGUCUUAAUCAUUCUUUUUUGCGCUUUAAUCUGCUCUGUGGUUCUUAACGCCGUCAUCCGCUGCUUCUUACGCGGGAAUUACAGUGGAAGCCGCCGCUCUCGGCGUUCAAACAAUGGCAGUCACCUUCCUCAAACCCAACAAGAGCUUGAGCAGAGGAAGCCUGUAACGGAGGCGGGUGUAGCACGCAUGUCGGUGGCUCCCACGGUGGUUUAUUCGCAUGGGAUGAAGCUUGCUGGAGCGGAGGGUGUACCGGAAUGUGCUAUUUGCUUGUCGGAAUUCGUGGAAGGCGACGGAAUUCAAGUGUUGGCUAAGUGUAAACAUGGUUUCCAUGUACAAUGUAUUCAACGGUGGUUGGCUUCACACUCUUCUUGUCCCACUUGCCGUUCUAUUUGUCUUCCUCCGUCGCCGUCACCGGAAGAAACUACCCGCGAAUGCGUUGGAGACGGUUCCCAACCGGUGGUGCCGGACCCGGAACCGUAGCAGCUUUGGUUGCUCUUCUUUAUACUGUAUGUAUUUAACAUGUUCAAAAGCUUUAACCUUUUCUUCUUCUUUUUUUUGGUUAAUUUGUUUUUUCUUUCAAAGAUUAUUUCUCUGUAUUUAACAUAUUCAAAACUUUACUUUAAGAAUUGAAGAACAUAAACUGUUGCAAUCAUGUCGUAAAUUACCCAGUAUCAUGAUUGAUUAACACCAAAUUAUAUGAAUCUUAAAAUAAAAUAGUAAGACUUAAAAAUUAACUUCAAUUAUUUUGUUUAUACUACCCACUUGGUCAAGCAGUACUCACGUCUUUUGGUAGGAAUUCACGGUCCGAUCACAUAGGAUGUUCUCUCUCAACAGGUUGAACCUCGGCUUGACUCAACAAUAAUACUUGACUGUUACGAGAUUUGUUGACUUUAGACAUACUACACUUGCAAAUCUUUUUGAGAAAGUCCCCUCAACGAUUAUGAUAAGAGUGCAAUCAAUUAACAUAUUCUAUUAAUUUUUAUUGAAUAAACAUAAUAAUAAAAUUAAAAUGGUUUAUGUUAAACAAAAAUAUGUGAAAUUUAGAACAAAAAACAGAAUACUCAAAACAUACUAGAUAAUCCUGUAGUAGCAAUAUCGUUCUGGGUUUUAGAUUUAAGAUUCGAGUUUCAGGUUAAAAAAAUAAUCAAAAUUAUAUAUUAAUGACAUAAAAAAAUUUAUUAAAAUAUCAUUAAAUAAUUGAAAAAUAUAGAAUGACGCAACACUCCUAUUUUGCACCGUCUUAAUUAGAUGCAAUACGUUUAGAUUGAUUUAAUUACGUGUCUUUCUAAAUUUUUUUGAUUAUAUUUAUUACUUUAAUAUUAUAAUAUUUAUUUUUAAAAUAUAAAAAUAUUAAAUAUAUAUUUAUGAUAAUUUUUAAUUUUUAAAUCAUAUUUAGGGAAAAGAAUGAAAUAUCUAGGAUGGUAGGUUAUUAGUAAAUAACAUUUAUGUUUUAAUUCAUAGUAAAUAUAAAAUAAGAAAAGUAAAAUAUAUUACAAUAUCAACAAUCAAAUACUUUGAUAUAAUAACUUCAAUCUUUCCUCCAUUAUUUUAAAAUUUACAUUUUUUUAACAUAAAUUUUAUUUUCUAUAUUAAUUAUUUCAAACGUGAUAAAUUUGUUAUCAACUUUUAAAUAAAAGAAUAAAUACGUUUUAGUGUAUUCGAAAACACGUAACUUUAUACUUGAUAUCAAUUAAAUUAAGACUCAAUUUUUAACAACGAUCGAAGUUGAUUCAUCAUAUUCUACCUUGGAUAUGCACAUCUACAUUCAAUGCUAACAUAAUUAUCAUGUUUAGAGUAGAUUCUCAAAUGGAUUAAGAAAAGCAUGAUUUACUAAAAAAAAGAAAGAAAAGCAUGAUGAAAAAAAUAUAAUAUAUAUGGUUUAAUACUUGUUUUGGCCCUUGUAUUAUAAUAAAAUUUUCACUUCAGUAAUUUUACUAUUUUUUAGAUUAAUUUAUCCUUUUUUUUUUAAUUUCGUCUAUUGCGUUAAUUCCUUGACCAUUUCCGUUAAAAAAAAUUCCCCACGUAGAUAAUAAUAAAAAGGUUGAAGUGAAAAUUUCACUGUACUAAAAGGACCAAAAUAAGUAUUAAGUCAAUUGUUUUAACAAAAAUGAAGGGGCUACCGUAUGACCAAAGUGAAAUUUUCACUAUUCCAAAGCCAAAACUAGUAUUAAAAAAAUAAGGGUAAAUUGUACCUAAAGUUACUAAAUUAUUAGUAAGUUUAUAUGUUAGUCACUUAACUUCAAAAUGUUAGAAAAAUGGUCACUAAUUUAUUUGAAAAUUUUCAUUUAAGUCACUAGACUGUUAAAAUCAUUGUUGUAUGGCUUUCUCUAUUCGCACCACCAAUUGAAAGCUUUUUUUCCCUACUCUUUUGCAAUUCAAUUUUUUUUCUUCAUAAAAUAGUUUUAAACAUCACGAAUCUACGAAAUAAAAAUCCAAACAGUUUUCUUCUCCAAUCUCCGACAUUGACCAUCAAAUCAACUUGGAUCUAAGGUAUGUUUUUUUUACUCAUUGAUGGGUACUAAUCCACUGUACUGAUUGUUGAAUUGUUACUUGGAGCUCAUUAGUAAAAAAAAAACCUUAACAACUAGUGACAUUUUGUAAGCUUUUAUUUAAGUCAUUGGACUGUUAAGUUUUUUUUAUAAAAAAAGCCCGCCUGGCGAGCUCCAAGCAAUCACCGAUGAGUAAAAAAACCAAGUCGAUUAGAUGAUCAGUGUCAAAGAUUAAAGAAGAAAAUUGUUUUGGAUUUUGGGUUGUAGAAGAAAAGCUUUUGAUUGGUAUAAGCAAUGCGAACAUAGAAGGUCAUAUGACAUAUAGUAGCAAUUUUAACAAUCCGGUAACUUAAAUAAAAAUUUUUGAAUAAUCCGAUGAUCAUUUUGUAACUUUUUAAAGUUGAGUGACUAAAACGUAAACUUCCUAAUAAUUUAGUGACCUUUGAAGAAUUUACCCUUAAACUAUAUAUAUAAUACCUGAGGUAAUGUUUUAUGAGAAGCCAAAACUGAUGCACCGAUAAUGUUUUUCCGGUGGUGGGACAACCUUAAUCUCAAUAUCACUCGGCAUAAGAGCUGAAAGUUCCUUAAUGAUUCCAUCACCCACGCCGGGGGCAAGUAUGGUGGAGUCACUGGAAAGGAUUAUGUUACCAAACAAGUCCUUUUUAGAUUAAACAUCAUGUUUUAACCUUUUCUAUAUAUUCAUCUUAAUUUUUAAUCUAUAAUCUAUAACUAUAAAAUUGAUUUUUAUAUGUUAUAAAUUAUAUGAGAUAAAAUAUUACAAAUUAAAAAAAAAGAUCAGACGGACUUGACCUUGAAUGUUGAAGUCUAUGCUUGACCUAUAUUUUAAACUGAGUCUAAUUUUUUAAUUAAGUCUAUUUUUCAAAUUUAAUAUUUUUAUUAAAUUCUCUUAAAAAUUGAAGAAACGAGCUUGAAUGAAUAACCUAACUAACUCGUGAAUAAAUAUACUUUUUAUCCGUGGGUGAAUUAAUUAUAUCUUGUUGCUACUACUAACCUGUAGUACGCUUGGCAGCAUGAAGCGAUAUCACCGCCGGAACGGGAAUAUACAUGGCCGGAAUCUUCGAACAUUAUCUCGGCCAUUUUCUGCCUUUUGGACUUGGAAUUGUGCGGUGCUUCGGUGAGGAGCACGGGAUGUUUUUGGGGAUCGACAUGAAACUCGUUAUGGCAAGUGUGAUACCAGAUUUGUUCGAUGUCAUCCCAAUUGGUAAUGAAAUCAUGUUGAUCAACAAGGUAAUUCAAUGUGCAAAUACCACUCCAAGCCAGAGCUUCACACCGAAAAAGACAGCUUUGUGUUCCAUUCCGGCGUGCGGUGGCCGUGCAACGACGCAUGGGAAGACAGUCCUAGGAGUUCCUUCACCGGUAAAACCAGCCUGUUUGAGGAUAACGAAGUGAGGGUUGGUUCCACAAUCUUAGAGUGAAAAACACACAGGCAAUAGCAGAAGAUAAAUAUAAUGGAACACAACAGAUUAUACAUGCUAAACAGUUUGAAAAUAUUAUACUUGCAAUCGGGGAGAAUACGAAGUUGAUGGACUCUGAAACUGAAAGCUCGAGAGAGAAGAUGAUGAUGAUUAAAUGAAUGUGCUGGACAACGGAGAUAAGAUCAUUUUCAUUGUUUUUUAUUCAUUAAUUUUCCAAUUUUACCAACAAUAUCAAAAUUUCGAGUUCAUGCUUACGAUAAGAUUACAUAGAACAAGUAUGUAUCAGAAGCUUUUCCUUACUGUUAUGAAUUUUAUCUUUCUGGCGUUUAAAUUCGGCUUUUUGUUUAGACCGGUAUCAGCUUCGUUAUACAUUUUAGUCUUAGAUGAUAUUCUCUAGACAAAUGGUGACAUGACAAGCAUAUUAGCCAACAUUGCAUGUAUGCCAUAUGUCUCUACACCUAGUCCAUAUCAUUUAAUUCAAUGUAAUUACAAAAAUGAACAAAAAUAUCUGAUUUUCAUGAAUUAACUUUGUAGAGAAAGUGGGAGAGAGGAAGGAGUUAAUUGAGCCGUGGUUCGGUUGGAAAUUAAUACAAGCCAAUAAAAAUAAAAUUUUUAAAAUCAGAUGAUGAUCAAAUCAUUAAUUCAGUUAAUUUUGUAUAAUUAAAUUAAACAAUUAAUUAAAAAUUCAUAAAAAAUAUUAAAAAGACAAUUCAAUUGAUUUUUUAAACUAAUCCACAACCGAUUCCAAAAAAUUCAACCAAUCUAACCCCUCACUGCACCAAAUCCAACCGGUCAAAACUGGGAAAAAAUGGAAGUGACAAUGAAAAUGGAAUCCAGAAGAAAUGAGAGUGUAAGAAGGGGAUUCCAAUACAUAAUUUUCAAUAAUUCAUUCAUCAUUUGUAAGCUUUGAUUCAUUAUUGAAUUUUGACAGGAAUGGGAUGGGAUCCAAGAUUAAUGGAUGUGAGCAAACAAGUAUGGAGAACAACCGUGUCAUCACAGAGUAUACGCUAAGGCAUGGCAGAAAUAUCAAAUCAAUGGAAUCUAAUGUCCACAUAGGUACAAAUACAUAGCCGGCCAACAACAAAGCAAACAAGUACUGAGAACAACCGUGCCAUCCAAGGGCUAUAUAUGUCCAAUCAACAACAGAGCAAAAAAGGUAGCUAGAACAACCAUGUCAUCACACAGUUAACACUAAGGCAUGGCAGAAAUAUCAAAUCAACGGAAUCAAGUGUCAACAUAGAUAUAGAUAUACAUUGAACAAAUUACGAAAAAUAAACCAUCAUAGAUCAUUAGUAAGAAUAAGAUCAACUUACUGAUUAAACUUCAAAAUAUCCAAGUCCGGAUUUCCGGUAACAUACUCAGCACGUAAGCAAAUUGCAGAAAAAUGAGAUUCAUUAAGGAACAGUUCUAUAAAUCAACACACAGCUUAAAAUGGGGGAAUAAUUAGAGUACUAAAGAUUAAACAGAUAUCCAAAAUUCUGCAAACAAAUAAAGAUAACAUCCUUGUCCUCUGUAACAGUUGCAAUCCAGGGAAACAGGAAAGACGAGACAAAAAACGGAGUCCCAAGAUAUUACCACGACAAAAAAAUAAAGCAGCACUAUAACUAUGAUUCAAGGAGAUAGUAAUCAUUCUUCUUCAGCGACCCUUCCCUUCUCACUAACAUAGAUACCAUCAAGGAACUUUCUAAUAUCCUUGUUCUUCACAUGGCAUUUCUGUUCAAAAAGGAACAGAUGAUAAGAUUGUUAAAGCAAAGUUGAAAUCUAUAAAUGAAACAUAAAUUUGAAACACUUGCAUAAGGCAAGCACUCAAUGAGAAAGUACCUGGUUUAUCAAAGCUGCAGAUCGGGAUACAAGUUCGAUGUCAUUACCAUCCAAAACAAUCUCAUCCUUAACCUUCUCGGAUCGAACAAUGGAAACACCUUCCAACAUAUCCACCUUACGGACCUGACGUUUACCAACAGAGAAUGAGCCAGACUAAUACAACAACAUAUAAAAUUUAAAAAAGAACAUCUGUAACUCUUUAAACAACAAGAGCAUGACAACUCAGGGGUGGUUGAACCAGUCUGACCAGUUUGAUUAAAAAAUCAUUAAAAUUAAAAAAUAUUUAAAAACCCAAUUCAACCACCGGUUCAACCAGUCCAUACCAAUUCCCGGUCUAACCAGUUCAAAGCCAUUCUCCAGACCGGUACGCUGGCUACUUCCCGGUUCAAACAUUAUUGGAACUAACCAACUUAAAGUAAAACAUAAAGGCGCAUAUGUAAAUAUAUAACCUACAGAAAAUAAGCUAAUCCAACCAAUCUUGCUUAACAACGGAAAAAAGGCUUUAGGAUUUAGGGUUUACUGGUUGAUAUUAUAAUGGAUUAACAGAAAAUAAUUCUUAGCAAAUUUAGAGUUGUGAAUAGAAAAGACUGCAUAAAGAAGUUCAGUUAAAUCAUUAGGCAUAAAAAAUCACAAACUCUUACUGAAAUUGAUAGGAAUGUAUGAUUUCGACGUACUUGAACAUGAGAACAGGCAAACAUUCAGCAUAAAAUUAUUUGAAAUCAAAAGCAAAAUGAAGAAUCAUCCAAAGAGUACCAACAUAAAAUUGAUACGAAUACAUGAUUUCACCAUUUUUGUAUACUUAAAUGGCCAAACAUUCAACAUAAAAUUAUCUGAAAUCAAAAUCCAUAAACAAGCUAAAGCAUAAACUUAAGCAGAUUCCAGUUCCACAUAAAUUCAAGCAUAAAAAAGGAAGGAAUGCGAGAGUAGACCUUCUUCUCGCCAAGGAAGUUACGGAUCUCGAUCGACUUGUUGCCAUUAGUGAUGGAGGCGUUAAUCGGAAAGUGAGCGUAGACGAACCUCAUCUUGUAACGGUAUCCUUUAGUGACACCGGUGAUGAGGUUCUCAACGUGGCUAAGAGCUGUACGGAUGGCGGCGCUGGUCUUCCUGGAGCCAAACCAAGCCUCGAUCCUGAGCUUACGCUUGCCGGUCUCUUCGUCCUUGAUGAGAUGGAAAUCAAGGUUGAGGUGCUUGAAGUUGCGGGUAAGCUUACCCCUUGGACCUUCAACCUCGAUCACCUUAGCCUUGACCUUAAUGCUAACCCCAUCGGGGAUGUCCAUUGUCUCGGAGGAAAGUAUAGUCUUCAUUUUCGCUUUGCUCUUCUAGCUUCCUUUCCCGGCUCUCUUUUAGGCGGCUUCGAGAAAUGGUUGGAAAAACCCUAACCCUAGCGCCCUUUUAUAUACAAGGUAUAAUUAUUUCACGUUUUAAGAAAUUUUUAAUUAAAUAAUUAUUUACGAGUUAAUAUGUAGAGCAGACCAUUUUACCAUUAAAAUCUCAUUUCCAACUUUAUUUACGGAAAUGGCUCAAUGUUUUUAUUAUUUACCGGAAAGAGCCGAUUUUAGUAAAACGCAUCCACGUAGGAACAUUUUUAGGGGAAAUUUUAGCAAAACGCAUCCCUGAGGGAGUAAUUUUGCCAUGUCAACACAAAACACACCCACGUGGACGUGCUUUGCUGAUGUGGCAAAAUCGCUCCCCUAGGGACACGUUUUAGUCCGUGUUUUUUCCCCCAAUGGUUAUUUGAUUUUUUGACCGUUGGGGGUCUAACGGCAAAAAAACCCCUAUAAAACCCCCUCCUAUUUUUUCACACAUUAUUUCUUCAAUUUUUUUUUUAAUUUUCUCAAAGCUCUCUUUAAUUUUGGCAAAGAAGCUCUGUUUAAUUUUUUUUUCUGAAUUAGUUUUUUUUAUAAUUUCAAAAAUAUUUGAUCGUGUUAGAAAUGGCCGGGGAAUUAAUUCGUCUCGAUCAUAAACAUAUCUUCGUCGAACAAAUGAGAAUGGUAAGGGUUAAUUUUAAUUUUUUAAUAUUAUUUAAUAUUUUUUUCAUUUACGUAAUUUUAAUUAAAUUUUAUUUUAUAUUUUUUUAUAACAGUCUGUAGAUCAGGUGUUACAAUGUUAUAUUCGUAAUAUGCCUGGUUCUCCAUCACCGUUGAUAGAGAAUUACUUGCGGGAAGCGGAUUUUUGGCACGUGGCCACUAUAAGCCAGGGGUACAAGUUAGACCCGAAACUCAUUAGCGCGUUGAUAGAGAGGUGGAGCCCCGAGACGCACACAUUCCAUCUUCCAUGCGGAGAGUGUACCAUCACUUUGGAAGACGUGCAGUUACAAUUGGGAUUACCGGUGGAUGGGUCUGCACUCACCGUGUUCGUUCAAUCUACUGAUUGGGGAGUCGUAUGCUACGAUCUUUUGGGUGCGAUUCUGAAUAAUAUCUACUGAAUUAGAAAGAAUACGAUAUGCUCGGGCAUACAUUCUUGAGAUAAUUGGAGAUUAUUUGAUGCCGGACUUGUCACAAAACCUCACACAUCUGAGGUGGUUGCUGAAACUCAUUGAUUUUAAAGCAACUGGCAAAUUUAGUUGGGGGUUUGUCGCGUUGAUAACAUUGUACUGGGAGAUGUGCGGGGCGACGCCACCAACUAAAGCCAAAAUCGGAGGUUGCCUAUCACUACUACAAUCAUUGGCUCAAUUUCACUUUCUAUUUUUACGUCUUCGAGUGGACCACCCAUAUACAUUCCCACUCAUAACGAAUUAAAAUUUAUAUUAGAUUUUAAAAUGAUUACAUGGAUUUAAAAUAUAAUUGUAUGCUAAAAUUUUAUUUAAUUAGGUGGAACCAUUUGGCGAGUUAUGCUGGAAUAUCUACCGCUCUUAAAGAUAUACGGCUUCUAUUAGACCGACGGUCGAAAGCGCAAGUAAGUAUUAAAUAAUAUAUAUACAUAAAAUAGUCGUUUCAUAUUUAGCAUUUAGUAUAAUGUAUAUAACUAAUAUUUUUAUCAUGUUCAUAUAGUUUCAAUGGACACCAUACAAGGAUUCGGAAAUUCGGGCAGUAAUUUCGGAUGAAUUCUUUCAAAAUCCAAACAUUUGGCAUGUGAAUGUCUCAUUGAUCAACUAUGCUACCAUGGAGAUGCAUCAGACGGAUAGAGUGUUGCGGCAAUUUGGAUUUCAACAACCGGUUCUCGUGGCACCUGAGGUGCUCGAUGAUGAGCACAAAAUUAACUUACAGCAAUCGAAUACGAAUUGGCCGAUAUUCUGGUCGAAAUAUAUCGAAAUGUAGAAAAAUCGGUAGUAUUACGCUAGCUAACAUAUUUGAAUCCAUUUUGGGAUGAUUUAGUGAAACACCUUUCAACGAAGUACGUUAAAUAAUACAACAUUACGUAAUAAUAGUAUUAUUCAAAAACCCUAAACAUCCAGUGAUAUUGUACCGACAACACAUGUAUGUGGACAUUUGUACUUUUUUAUCUCCCACGAGUCUGUCUUUUUCCUAACCGAAGCCAUAAUUUUCUAUGAAUAUGUACCGUCUUGCACUGCACACUUGGCCUUGAAUUUAUCGGAUUUGGAUUUAACCACGUUGUAGUUAACCCCGUUCACGAUGCUAUGUUGUUUCAAUGUACCAAGAAAACUAUUCUUACUGGAAAACUCCUUACCAACUUCCAAUUCACUCGAAUCCAAUGAUGAACUUGUACGGUCACGCCUUCUGUGUGGUAGAUCUAGAAACUCCAACGCAUCAUCUUCUGAUAAAUCGACAUUAUGCAUGUAGGCUGGAGGCGAGUACGCCCUAGAUCGCAGAUCUUCUUCUUCUUCAUCUGAACCUCCUUCAACAUCUUCAGGUUCGGUUGGAACAGGCUUCGGUUCAGAAAAUAAUACAACUUCUGCACCAUCGGGGCGAAGCUCUCGAGGUGGAUCCAUAUCAGACUCAUCAUCCAACCCACCAUCAUCUGCAAUGUAUGAGGUCCCCUUACUGGUGGACGUCGUAAUGAGUACAUCAUCCCAUCUCGUGGACGUUUCUUAACGUCCCCAAUCAGAUGUGGAUUGCCAACCACUAGAGGUUGAUGUCAUUCUCCAGUACAUAUUUCUAGCAUCGAACAUCGACCCACCGAGGUGCAUGUCCCAUCCACUAAUCGAGUGUCGUGCAGGGGUUGUGUAUUCCAUACUGCUACCAAACACAGGCGCUUUCGUGUUCUGCCUCCCACUGACGGAGUGUCGAGCAGGGGUCGUGUAUACCUAUCGAACAGCAGUAGAUGUUGAAGUCGCAAAUGCUUUAUUUGGCGAUGAAAAUUGUACAUAUAACUCAAGAUAGGGUGAUCCACUAGCGAGAUGAGUCUGCACCAUCGCCUCCAAGCUACGACCACCUUUGAUAUCAAAUGAUUCAUAUGUCACGGGAUCAACCGAAGCACAAAAUUGAUACUUAAUAGACGAAACUCUCGUUGGCGUCAUUCUGAAGAUUUUACGCCUAAUUCUUUUACGAAGUUCUGGUUAAAAACUAGUCGCGUUAUGUUCUCCGAUAAAAAAACAACGCCGUUCUCGGUGUCACGGACCUCACCAUCAUAGUAAAUAACAACACUAAUACGUUCACUCAUCUUUAAUUUCUAUUAUACUUAGCCUCCUUAAAUUUUCUUGCUGUAACUUAUGCAACCUGAGAAUGAAAUUUGGCUCAUUUAUAGUCUAAGGCCAAACAGGAACUACUGUAGAAAAAGAGCAUCCACGUGGGAACUUUUUUCAUCAAUUUUACUGACAGUGCAUCCUGCUUGAAGCGUUUUUGACACCAUUUUCUAAUGAUGGCUCCAACAUGCAAAAAGCCCUAACUCUAGAAAAACACGAGCUAAAACACGUCCCUGGGAGAGCGAUUUUGCCAUGUCAGCAAAGCGCGUCCAUGUGGGCGCGUUUUGUGCUGACAUGGCAAAAUCGCUCCCCAGGGACAUGUUUUGCUGAAAAUUCCCCAAAAAACGCUCCUACGUGGAUGUGUUUUGCUAAAAUUGGCCCUUUCUGAUAAAUAAUGAAAAAAUUGGCCCAUUUCGCAAAUAAAGUUGGAAAUGGGCCUUUAUUGGUAUAAUGGUCUGUAGAUCAAGUUUUUUUUUAGCUUCAUUCAAAAAUUAUAGUCAUGUUUUUAGGGUAGGUUACAUAAUCAUCUAAACAGACCUUCGAGUAAAAAUGUGAACAACAUUUUCAAAUAUAUAUUUAAAAUAAAAUUAUAAUAUAUUAGAAAAUUUAUUACAAGUGUAUUUGUGUAAAAAUCAUAAAUUUAGAACAUAAAUACAUGUUUAUAAAUAACAUAUAACAAAUAAAUAAAAAUUAUGGUUUGAACUAACUAAUAAUAACACAUGAAAUAUGUAUGUUAUUAGAAUGAAAAAAAAUUAGAUUAAAUUAUUUAUCAUGAUGUUAUAAUCAAUAUUGAGCUGGUGUUGAAUUAACUUUUAAUAUCAACUCAAUCAAAUACAUUAUUAAGAUAUACAACUAAUGGAGGUAAUAGAAUGUAUAUAAUAAAAUUAAAAAAUAUCAAAAUAAAAUUUUAGUUGAACAGUAAAUUAAAGGUUUUUACCAGUGCAAUUGAGAUGGGCUUGAAUCCCACCAUAUACAUAUUUUAAAUGAUUUUAAAGUGAAAAGACUAAAAUACCCUCAAAUAAUAUUAUUUAUUUUAAUUACAGAAGGACAUUCUCAUAAUUUUCUAACUAAUUUGGUGCCCAGUUGACUCAUAACACUAACUCAGUAAGGAGUUUAAGUAAUAAUAUAGAUGUACAAUUAACGGAGAUAAUAGAGUGUGCAUAAUGAAAUUAAAUCGUAUGAAAAUAUUAAAUUAAAUUUUUAGUUGAGUGGUAAAUUAAAGGUUUACUAAUGCAAUUAGUGUGGAUUAAAAUCUCACUAUGUAUAUAUUUUAAUGAUUUUUAAAGUAAAAAAAACUAAAAUAUCCUCGAAUAAUAUCACCUAUUUUAAUUACGAAUGAGCAUUCCGUAAUUUCCUAAUCGAGUUGAUGUCUGGUUGACUCGUGCUACUAACUCAGUAAGGAGUUCAAAUAAUAAUAUAGAUUUUUAAUUGAUAUAGUAUACAUUUUAGGGUUAAUAUACUAUUUGGUACAAUAUUUGGCUUGAAUGUUCAAUUUGAUACUUGAGGUUUUAUUUUGUCCAAUUUAAUACCUGAGUUUGUCUUCAAUGUUUAGUUUGAUACCUAAGUUUUUUUAAAUUGAUACUUAAGUUUUUAUUUGCCUCAAACAAGUACCUAAGUGUGACUUUAAUGUUUAAUUUGAUACAUGAGUUUUUCUUUUGUCCCAAUUAAGUACCCAUGUUUCUUUUUACUAGAGUAGAGGUCAAAUAUUUAUUGGAUCACACAAUGUUGUUCAAUUUGGGCACUAAAUUGAACAUUGAAGCCAAAUUUAAGUACUAAAUAAAGACAAAAAAGCUUAGAUAUCAAAUUCAACAUUAAAACCAAAUAUAGAUAUUAAAUGGUAUAUUAAUCCAAAAUUUUAAUGAACAUACAAGUAAAAAAGUUUAAAUGCAAUUUAACAAUAAAUUUGAAAUUUUCGAUCAAUAUGCAAUUUAUUAUAUAUUAUUUUUUUAAAAAAAUAAGAUGAAUUAAUAUAUUAGUUUUCUUGAAAAAGUAAAGCUUAUACAUAUAUAUAUUUCAUUUCGUGCUCAAAACCAUAGCCUAUUUUUUUUUGUUCUUUCUAAAUUCUAAUACACGUCAACUUUGUUAAUUAAAAAUUCAAAGCCAAGAAAACAAUUAUUAAGACACAAAAAUCGGAUCUCCCUCCUGACCAACACUUCCCCAUUACAAAAUGAUAAAAUGCCAAUCCAGAAGUAACAUAUUGAAAGUUUAAAACGAGAAAGAAAAUUACAACAAUACAAAUACAAACACGCAUACAAAAACCAAUACUCGAAACACAACACGGUUCAGGUAUUACUCUGAACGAUUUGGCAAUUCCUGUACAAUUCAAAUCAACCCUUCACGGUGGCCAUGGCUUUCUGUAAAGCUCUUCCUUCAAAUACAAGUGAUCCCAUCUUCUUAAUCCGGAACAGCCUACAUUUACAAGUGCUUUUUAUCUUCACCAUCAUCGUCUCCAUCUUCCAACUUGUAUGUGCUGAAGUGAUUGACCUUGAACCUCCAUUCUCCUUUGAUGGGAUCAUAGGAGAGAAACUCAGCUCCUUGCUCCUCUGCCUUCCUCUUAAGCAUGUUCUUGUAUUUCUCGACUCGUGGCCCUUCUGUAUACUGCUGCCUGGUCUUUUUAUCGAAGCAUUUAAUGUUGAGAAGUGUUACCUCAGCAGGUUUAUUAAGACCUUGUCCGACAGGAGGUUUCUUGCUGUCAUCCAAGUAAACAAUCACCUCACGGUUGUUGAAUUGGACAAGGGACUCCAGAUCAAGACGUCUCACAUCGGUCUCACCCGAGAAUUUGAUGCUUCCGUAACCAUGCCGCCCAACCACAAAAUCCUUUACACGGCGACAGUACCCUGGUUCAGCCCUUUCCUUCGCUGCUAGUUCUUGGAUUCGAGGUUCUGUAAAGUAGUCAAAACGGCGGAGCUUUGGCAUUAGAGCCUCGAUGUCAGCCCCAUGCUCAUAGACAAUAGCUGCUUCACCAGCUCUGUGACCACUGAUCGUCAUGUACAAGUCCUCUUUCUCGGUAGAAUAAUCAUCAUGGACUCCAUUAGCCUUUUGGUUACUUCUGAUGAUAUGAAUUCGCUCCUUCACAAGGCCAUUUUCAGCAGGAUUUUCUACAAUGAUCAUACCAUUGCAAUUUCAGGUAAAAGAUAAAAUGGCACAAUAGGAAAUUAAAGGUGAUUAUAAUUCCAGGUAAAAGACACUACUUACCGUCUUUAUCCUCAGCGUUGGAGCCAUCAUUAGAAAAUUUGCCUAAAUUAAAAUGUUGCUCCGAAGAGUCAGCCACAAGGACUCAAAAAUUAAUGUAAUCAAACCAUAAAAAAGAAUCACAUACAAAUUAUACUGCAUUUUCUCAGUGCAAUGAGAAUACUGUAUGGUACUAGAAACGACUUCUUGCAACAGAUGACAAUACAAUUUUCUCCGUAGGCCAAUUUGUAUCGCAUGAUUAUCUUCAUUAAUUGACUGAAAUCCAUGGGUGUUCGUAUGUGGGUGCGUUUGAGAGAGAUACGGGUAGCAUAAAAAUGAACUCUCGCUACCGACUUCCCAAAGAUUAUAUAUUAUUCAAAAGGACUUUAGCAAUAGCAUUUUAAGAAUAUCACUAAGAAUCUUAUAUGAUUCAAAGCAAUAAUAAGAUUUAAAGCAAUAAACUUUUGUCCCUAUCUAUAAGCCUUUCUUCUAAUCUCACAGGGUAUGAAAAAAGGUUCGCAGAUGAGCUUCAAAGCACCUUACCAUUCUCAUGCGGCGGAGUGGAUGCAUCCUUCAAUGGUGAUGCCUUCUCUGCAGAAGCUCUGGACGGCCAACUUUUUGUGGGGCGAAUGACCAGAGACCUUGGGUUUUCCCUAGGAAUAAAAACAGCACCGGCCUUAGGCACGCAGGGUGUCUCUUCAUCAUCACUGAAAAAUGGAAUCUGCAGAUAUUGAUUAACAAAUGAAAUAAUCACAUGUUAGAACUCUAACCUCAUAUCACGAGCAAUGUAAUAGCAUUUUAAAUCAGAUCAGAGUUACUACUUUCAUGAGAUGCAGCAUCCUCACCUUUGGACUAUCAUUAUUAGGAUGAUAUUUCCUUGUAGGCAACCUAAUCCGCCUUUGCGACAAGUAUCGAGAAGUCAAUAAGGGCAAUAUUCUAACAGGAGCAGGUUUGUCCACAACCUGAUAAAUUCAUUACCAGUCAACCAAUUAAUACCAUUAUAUUUUAUUUCACACAAAAAUCAAUGCCAAUAGUAAUUACUAGCAUGAAGACAGAAAAAAUCAGAGAAACAUCUAAAAGUAAAAAAACAGCAGACUCAAACUUGAAGCCUCGAUAACUAAAGCAAAGUCAAGUUACAGGCAUGCUAGAAAUUCCAUAUUGAACAGAUGGGGCAGCCCCAGUCCGACCAAUUGAGAUUUGUGGCAUAGCAGGGAGUGUUCCAUAGGGGUUUGCAAUAGUCGAGGGUUGUGCUACAGCUGCACUCUGUGUAGAAGACCUGUCAAACAGAAGAGCACGCAGGAUAAGCUCCAAAAUGUAAUCAUUCAAUUAUUUGGUUAACCAAGGACAACUUAUUCUGGCAUACUUUUGCAUUUACGAGUACAAAGGUACAAGAAAAAUUAUAUACCAGUAACGAAUAUGCAUAUGUUUGUAGGCAUAUAUAAGGAUAUGUAUAAGAGCAACUGAAAGUAGAAAGAAAAACCCAAAGGAAAUUACACAUACGACAAGCCAAUGUUACUCUGACCAAAAAUGCUUGAACCACCACCUAUAAAGCCGGCAACAUCAUUAAAGUCAGCACUAUCAAAGAAAGCUUAAACAUUGAAUGAUAAGACAUCUACUACCUGGUUGUGACUGACCAAAAUUGCUGAAACUGAAAGCACCACUAGUCUGAGCUGGCUGAAAAGGAGAAGAAAAAGGGGGCUGCACAAACAGUGGAGAAGGAAGCAUGUUUUACGAAAAGACUCAAGCAUAAACUUAAGAGUAUUAAAACAAAUUAAACAUAGCAAAACUGCUCAAACAUAUAGCUAAGCAUUUUUUUCAUAAAAUGGUUAAAACACAUUUCAACAAAUAGUCAUGACAUUUAAUCAAAUCAGUCCCCAGGAACCCUGAUCUUUAGAUGCAUAUAGAAACUAUCCUCAGGAAUUAGCAAUUGUGCUUCUUCAUUCAACAAAACAAAGGCAUCUAAAUCUGGAAAGAACAGAGAAACUCUUAUUUGGUUCUAUAUAAUUUACGCAAUACAAAAGCAAAAAACUGGGUCCUACUGCCAACUAAAUCAGACAUCUAGGAAGACUAAAACAACCAAAAUUAAAGCCUCAUUCUAUAAACCAAAUCACAAGAACAAAGGAACAUAAAUAUGAUGAAAAGAAGAAUGAUUGUAAAGAUUUCACAAGCUACUUACAGUUGUUGAGCCAAAGGCAGCUGGGCUGCUAGAAGGAGCGAAAGAUAGUGAGCUUGAAAACAUAUUCCCACCAAACCCAGCGGAAGGUGUGUUGAAAAUGCUUGUUUGACCAAAAUUAGUAGUAUUCUGUCCAAAUGUAGAGGUCACCUGCCCAAAAGCAUUGCCUGUCUGCCCAAUUGCAGGGGUAGAACUGAACAGGGGGGAUGUCUGACUGCUGCUAAAAUUUAAACCAGUAGCAAAUGUAGGCGUUGUUGCCGGAGUUACACUAGUGCCAAAAAUGGAUAACGAAGUUGAAAAGGAAGGAGUGACAGAUGAACUAAAAAGAGAAGACCCAGUUCCAAAUGUAGGAGUGGAAGAUGAACUAAAUAUUGAAGUUGUCAUUGAUGAAGUUUGCCCAAAAAGGCUUGAUGAAGUCGAUUGAAAAGGAUUUGAUGUAGUUGCUGAGGUUGUAAAACCUGUACUAUUAAAGGAUGGAGGUUUUAGACUAAAUGGAUUGGUACUUGUGCUGGAAAAAGGAUUUGCAGAUGUCUGACCAAAUGUUGAAGAGGUGCUGAAAGGAUUUGAAGGUGAAGUUGACACACCAAAGCCAAUCCCUGCAGAAGGCUGAGAAGCUGGAUUCGGUCCACCUGAAAUUUCAAAUUCAUACAUCAAGGUACUCAAUGUCAAGCAAAGAAAAGAAGAAAUUUUAACUGGACAAGUUUUACAAAGAUACCUUUAUCUCCUAACUGAUAAUCCUCCCAUCUCAACUCCUCGUGACUUUUAUCUUUGUAAACAGGCAUUGCUGAUAUUGACUCCAAUUUUCCAGCUGGCUGUGUACCACUCCCUCCAUCUGCUUCAGUAGUAGAAGAGUACGGAGCUACUCUACUUCCCCCACGUUGACCCCCAAAAGGUGACUGGCCAAAGCUAGUGCUUCCAAAUGCUGGUGUUGAAGAUUGACUUCCUACAUGAGAGUUUAAAAGAAUUUUAAUUAUAUACAUGAACUUCACAGUGCUCAAAAUAUGGAAGGCCAGUGAAAAUAUAUACUUCACCCAAACUGUUUUUGAAGUUCAUAACUGAUCAUUCAGACCUUGCUACUCACCAAAAGGAGAACUCUGGGCUCCAAAUGCAGUGGUUCCAAAUGGACUACUACCGAAUGCUGGUGUGGACUGGCCAAAAGUUGGGCUAGACCCAAAGCUGAAGGAAGGAGUAGAAGAUGCUCCAAAAGCAGGACUGCUUGAAGUGCCAAAAGCAGGUGUGCUUGAUGCUCCAAAUGUGCCUUCUGUGCCAAAGACAGAGGCAUUAGACAUGCCAAAUGUAGUUCCACUGCUCCCGAAUGCUGGACUUCCAGUUGAACCAAAGGCCGGAGUGCUGGUAGCACCAAAGGCAGGGGUGCUUGUGGAACCAAAGGCAGGAGUGCUCGUGGCACCAAAGCUACCAAAUGCUGGUGUUGACUGCCCAAAUGCUGACCCAAAGCUGAAUGAUGGACUUGAAGAUGCUCCAAAAGCAGGAGGGCUCGAACCCCCAAAUGCAGGAGUGCUGGAAGUGCCAAAAGCAGGUGUGCUUGAUGCUCCAAAUGUGCCACCUGUUCCAAAGACUGGGGCAUUGGACACACCAAAUGCAGUUCCAGUGCUCCCAAAUGCUGGACUUCCAGUUGAACCAAAGGCAGGGGUGCUUGUGGCACCAAAGGCUGGAGUACUCAUGGAACCAAAGGCAGGGGUACUUGUGCCACCAAAAGCAGGGGCACUCGUGGCACCAAAAGCAGGGGCACUCGUGGCACCAAAGGCAGGGGUACUUGUGGCACCAAAAGCAGAGGUGCUUGUGGCACCGAAGGCAGGAGUACUGGAACCAAAAGGUACAGAGGAACCAAAUAUACCACUACCAAAUGCAGGUUGUGAUUGUUGCAUUGUGCUUCCAAAAGGACUUGAUUGAGUAGUAGUAGACCCAAAGCCAAAUGCAGGCUUCUGACCGAAAACAGAAGACCCUAUCCACAAGAAAGGUCAUCAUUUCAAAACUGAGGAAAAUUAACCAACUCACCCAAGAGCUAAAGAAUAAAAAGUCAUCAUAUACGAAUAACUAAAGGCAAAUUACAAAAACCUAGCAAAUUAAAUGUAUAUUAGAAACAACAAGAGCCCCCAAUUAAAAGGAUGAUCUCAUUCAAGAUCAUAUUUAGGUGCAAAAUGAAGAAUGAAACAAACAAGCAAGUCUCCCAUAGAUGAAACAGCAAAUUCUUCCAUCUCUGAAAAAUAAAAAGUGUAACUAAAUGGUAACAUGAAUAUAUUUAUGCAUGUACACAUGCUUAAACAUAAGUAUAACAACUCAAUGAUCUAUGCAUGUGUGGCGUUGGAACACUAGGAAUAAAGCAUCACAGAAAAUCAAAAGACUAAAAGGCAUUAAACUUUCAAAUCAUAUUCUCUUAACAUAUUUAUCUACAACAGAAGGAAUAUGAAAUGAAGAUGAACUGAAUUAUAAUACCAGAAAAGAAAAGAAAAAUACAGAAACACUUACCACCAAAAGAUGAUGAUGAACUGCCAAAUGCAGGAGUAGAAGAAGAUCCAAAAGCAGGCAUGGAACUUCCAAAAGCUGGAGAUGAUGAAGCACCAAAGGCAGUUGUUGAGGAAAAGGGAGAAGAAGAUUGGGCGGAGCCAAACACUCCAGUAGAAGUACCCCCAAAUAUUGAACCACCUGUUUGUGAUCCAAAAGGGGUAAUGCUACCAAAGGAAGGUUUUGGAGCAAAUGGAUUGCUAUUUGCAUUGUUGGUCUGGCCAAAAACAGAUUGGGAAGCAAAUGGGCUACUUGAUGAUUGCCCAAAAGCUGUUUAAUAUGUUUCUAACAAUUAAUUAAUUUCCCAAAAACAGAAAGUUCACAAGUAAAAACAAAUUCAUUCUCAAAAAGGAUAACAUGUAACAUAUAGAUAAAAGAUAACAACAAAAUUUAAACACAAACGGAAAAUUACAAGCAUAAAUAUCACAAACAAAGCACAAAUAGUUGGCAAAUAACAAGCACAAUGAUUCGACUAAUCAUUAAAAUAUUAUGACUAACAACAGAUCAAGAAGCUAAACACCCUACUCAAUAGUUAACCCGCAAGAUACUUGUAAACACGUAAAAGCAAAAGGUAACAAUAAUUUAUGGAUAUCACCGCAAGCAAAAUGCAACAAAGAAUCCUAGACUCGGAAUUCCAAAAUUACUAACUAGCCACAAGCUCCAAGUUUUAAUAAAGAACAGAAGCUAAAUCAUACAUCCAUCGAAAAAAUCAGCUCAACGAAUCAAAUCAAAAUAAGAUCUCCAGUACAUUUUCUACCGGAUUUAAUAAAUAAAACUACAAUAAACACUUACGGCUAGUUGAACCAAACAUCUUCGUUUAUAUAUAGCUCUUCACUUCAUAGCUCGUCCUUGAUCACAUCAAAGUCAAACAAACACGAAAAAACUAUAUAAUAAGUAAUAAAUCAAUAAACUCCAUGCGAAAUUUGAAUCAACAUUGCGAUAAAAAUAAAUCAAAACGCAGUAAAACAUUAAGCAAUGAAACCAAACUUCGGAUCCAUCGAAGCAUUAGAGAGAGAAGAAUAUACCAAUGUGAUCAAUGCUUCAACGAAAAAGGCUUAGCUAUAGAAUGUACUUUGCAAUUGCGAGACCUAUUAUGUGCGUAUGAUUAAUAAAAAAAGGGGGGGGGGAAUGUGAUAGGUAGCGCGUGGGAAUGAGCAGUGAAACAGUGGGGAGUGGGAGAGAAAAAGGUGAAAGAAGGAAAAUUAGGUUUUGCAGAGAAAGGAAGGGAAGGGCUAUAUUGGGAUCGAUCUAAAUCGGGGGAGAUUAGAAGAUUAUUGUGUCGGAGAGAUAAAGAGCCCCGGAAUAGAAAGGGUGGGGCGAGAGAAAGAGAGAGAAGAAGAACCCCGAAUAGAGCGACGAAGGGGAGGGGGUUCGUAGGGUCGGGUGAUUCACGUAGCGUUGUUUUUAAGUCCGGAUGGAUAGUUUUUCAUUUCGCAGCGUAGCGUUUUUCGGCUUUGUUGGGUCGUAAUAUUUACUUGGCUGUUACUAUGUCUAAAAAUAAAUUUGUUAAAUUGAUCCAUGAUUCGAUUAAAUAAAUUUAUAAAUAAUUAUAAUUUAUAAAUAAUUUGAUUUUCAAUUUUUAUCGAUUUAUAAAUAAUUUGAUCUAUAAAUAGUCUUACAUCACUGGUCAAAUCAAUUAGAUAAUGAAAAUUACAAAGUUUUCAAAGCUAAACCUGUGAUCAAACUAGUCACACAAUCGAUUUUCGAAGCAACAAAAUUUUCCAAUUUGAUUGAAUAAUGUUAUUGAACAUUUUAAAAACCCGAAAUUCGACCUGAUCACAUGAAAAUGAAAGCUCUCGCACACGAUCAUUUCUCCACCACCAUCUCGCCACUUCGCAGAUGAUCACCUUGCCUCACCAUCUCACAAGGUCACAAACCGACUGUGACCAACACCAUGUGAGGUGUCAUCUCACCUCCUCGUGGGAGAAGACACGUUUCAAGGUACGUAUCCAGCCUGAGGGGGUGAACGUGUCUUGCGCAUGGCACCUCACGGUCCUCUAAUACGUGACAUUGAGGAACCGUGCCUUAUAAAUAUGAAAAAGGAUGCUCCUAAGAAAAGAGAACAAGAAAGAACCUCGAGAAAUAAAUUAUUAAAAAUAGAGAAAACCGAUUCAACUAGUUCGACCAAUCCAACCACUAAACCUUAUUUCAAACCAACUGAUUCUCAAUCCACCAACCAAUUUGAUUCAAAUUUGAAAAUUGUGGAGCAUGUUAAAACCUCAAAUACACUGCAAUUAAACAUGGAGCAUGUUUAAAUUUACAAGAAUCAAAUUAUAAACGCCAAUGUUGCUCUAUGAUUUGUACACACAAAUUCCUUAUCUAAUAUCCGAGCAAUUCAAAAUGAACUUAGUUGAUAUAAUAAAGGUACUUUAAUGCCUAAUUAAAAUUAAAACAUUUUUAGGUUCAAGAUCAAGUUAGAAUAAGGAUACAAUUAACCCAUUUACGACGGCCGGCAAUGGCUAAGGUUAGAACAUCAAACAGUUUCAAACCAAACCUCUAGAUGGAAUCCUAACUCACUCGCCUGCAACAUCGAGCUCGAAGAAAGGGAAGAGAUUUACCGACAAAGCAUACUAAUCGAUCAAGAGACUAUACGAAAAAAUAAUUAAAAUACAAUACAAACAUGUAUCAAAAUCUAGAGGAUUUUCUAAUGAACUUACACUUAUAUUGUAAAAUGGCAAUAUGGGGCAAACAUAGUACUAGCAAAUAUUGAUACAAAUGACAAAAAGUAAGCAACUACAGAACCAAUUCUUUCUUUUUCGGUUCGAGAACCGGUGGAUCAAUGUCAAUUCCCAUAUUAGCAGCUGUCCCGGCUAUAAUUCUCAUAGCCGAUUCAAUGGUUGUACAAUUCAGAUCAGGUAGCUUUUCAGUAGCAAUUGCACGUAAUUGAUCGAUCGUGAUCUUCCCCACUUUCUCUUGUUUCGGGUCCUUGGCACCUUUCUCCACUCCUAAAACACCAUAAAAUGUAAUAAUAACCAAUUUGCAUUAUAAUUCGAAGAAAGUAAGAAACGAUAGCCAAAAAUUGUUCUCUUAUGCGCAAGUUACUCAUGCAAGGAAUCUGCUACUACGGUGACUAUUCCGGGACAAGAUGGUUAAAACUUUCAAUCAUCUUGAUCAAAUGCUGCAUGCCUAAGAAGAUCAACCACAACCUACCAUGUUCAUAUGACUAAUAACUAGUAAAUUAGUCAUUAAUUAAUGGCCCGUAGAAGAUGUAUCCAUUAGACCGACAUUGGUUAAUAUAUAUACAAUGACAAAGGGAACAAGGUUUAUGUAAAGAGAAAAGAUCGGUGAUAUCGAAGCAUCAGUCACACUGUGAAAAUCUUUAUACCAACAUGCAAAUAAAUCUAGCUUCACAUAAACAACCAUCUUACUCGGACUCAAGUGGGAAUGUUGUAUACGGGUAUAUGCCUAACAUAGGUAGGCAAGUUCAAUUUUCUAAGUUUCUUCAUGUGUUUCGAGAGUCCUUGGAGGGAGCAUAUCUCCCUACUCAUGUCCCAAUAUAUCGAACAUAAGUAUCCAACACAGGUACUUAAAAGAAACCAUUUUGUCUGAAGCUAGAGAUUUCAAUUGCAUGUCAUAAACAUAGAAGCCAUUUUUGUUUACCUUGAACAAGAACAUUGUUGAGGGGAGGUCGCUCUAUGGUCCGGUCUCGGACCCUCAACGGAGAUAUUACUUCCGAGUUGUCUAUGCUCAGUUUUAGCCCCGGAUUUUGUCUCCCUACUCCGGGGAGAGCCCAAGCGAACCCCACCAAGACCAAAUGCUAAACAUUUCCUUGGUGGACUAGGCACAAUUCCAUGAACCCCUAUGGGCUCUCCUCGGAGUAGGGAGACAAAACCUGGGGCUAAUACCAAGUAUAGACACCUCAGAAACAAUUCCUCCGUUGAGGGUCCAAGACCGGCCCAGAGAGCGACCUCCCCUCAACAAACAUAAAUACAAGCAGUAACAUAUGGAAGAAAACACUGAAUUAUCCCUUACACCAAACAUAAAAUCGCACCAUGUUUAAAGAAAGAUGCUAACAACUUUGAAUGUUCAUUGAUGAGUGACUUAACAAAGAAAUAUACCUGCUGCCUUCAGUAACAAAACAGAAGCAGGGGGUGUCUUCAAAAUGAAAGUAAAGCUUCGGUCCUGGAAAGUAAUUAAACGAAAGGAAAUCAUCACCAUUAUUGAUUUUAGCAAAAAAAAGGUUCAAAAACUGAAGAAAUGAUUAUAAAUAAAUAAAGAAAACCCACAUCGUAGACAGUAAUUUCGACAGGGAUAACAUAACCAGCUUUAUCAGCAGUUCUAGCAUUGUAAUCCUUACAAAAGGCCAUUAUAUUUACACCCUUUGCCCCAAGCGCCGGUCCGACAGGCGGCGCCGGUGUCGCCUUGCCUGCCUCCAGAGCUAAUUUUAUCAGCCCAACCACUGCAAAAACACACAAAAUUACAAUAAAUUUAAGGAAAUUCAAAAUUGGGUAUCGAAUAAUAAAGGAAAGACAUGAACAAAUCUAAAAACCUUUCUUGGCUUUGCCACCCGGUUUAGGAGGAGCCAUGGCGAUAACAGUUAAGAACCUUGGAGUUGAAGAGACGAAUGGGGGUUGUUUUCUGUUGAGGAAUUGGAUAGAAAUGUUGGGGUUUGAAGAUAAGGUGGUGGGUGAAGGACAAAGAGAAGAUGAAAGUUUGGCAUUGUCGAUAGUUCGGGGUGAAAAUGAAGAGCUGAGGUGAUGGAAAGUGGAUAAAGAAGAUGCCAUUGAUGAGGCUAAAUGAAAGAGAGCAAAAGUUUCAGAAAAUGAACAAGAAGAGCUACUAAAUCUUUUUGGAUAAAACCCAGAAUUUCUAUCUUCAAAAUUUUCAUCCUAAUUUUCGAUUGGGCUUCCAUUUUUCAAUUGGAGCUGGGUUUCACUCUGCAAACAAUUCUCUUUUUGGGCUCAUUUCCCUAUUCUUUUUGCAUCUUAAGUGCUUGAAAUGAAAAUAAAAUGACAUGAUUUUAUAUGAGUUGGCUUAGAGUAAAAUAUUCACAUUUUAAUGGUUUGGUUGGUUUGUUUGAACGGUAUUCAAUGAAAUUUAUAGAAUGGAUAGUUUUGUAAUACCUUCAACUUAUAUUGAAUUAGUUUAUUGGAAAUGAUUAAAUGAUUUAUUUUGAUAUGAAAUGUUGUGUUUGGGUAUGUUUUUAAGUGAUUAUGUUGGAUGGUUUAAUUCGAAUUUUGAAACAGACAUCAAAUGGUUCAUGUUUACUAAAAACAGGGUUUUCAUCCCAAUGAUCAUUUUUUCUCGUCACAACGUCGGCCGACAGUAUGUGACAUCGCGACGUCAGGUGGCUUGACGUCGUGACAUCAUCUGGCAUGUCAUGUCACAACGUCGAUCCUGAUUUUUUAAAAUUUUGUAAUUUGGUCAUAUUUCGAGUUUGGAUUUAUAAAAAAAAUUUUACAAGCUCGAUUAAUACUCGAUUUUGAUUGUUUAUCCAUAAAUGAAUGUGUUUGGCAUUGAAUUACAUGCGCGAAUGAUUAUUUUACCGUGAAUUGAUUGUAGUUUCUCUGACUACGAAUGUAACAUAUUAGAGCUCGGAUCUAGCGAUUGAGUUGGACGAGGGGUAUUAGAUUUUUAGAUUAAGUAUAUAUUAAAAUCCACAUUUGAGAUAUUAUUAACUUUUGCCUUUUACAUAUUAUUUGAAAAUCAAGUAUAUCUAAUCAAUUAAUUUUAUAUAAACCCUUAAAAGGUAUAUCAUUUUUAUGCCAACAAUAACACAUAUUAAUAUGAAAUAUAUAUAUAAUUAAAAAUAUAAACUUACAAUGAAAGAGUAAUUAAAAUAUAAUAAAUUAAUAAUUUAUAUCAAGAUAUAAAUAUUUAAAAAUAUAUAUUAAAAAAUUGCAUGUGAAGAUAAAAAAAAUAGGAAGGAUUUUUUUAAAAAUAAAUUACUUACAUAUCUAUAGUAAUAUACACUUUUUUAUAUCUUAUUUAUAUAUAUAUAUUUGUUGAUGUUAGAUUAAUUUGUUACAUUAAUUUAGUGAAAUUUUCAAUUAAUAGUAUAUUGAUUUUUUAGUAGAAAAUAAAUAAUAUUGUACUAACAUGGUGAUGAAUUUUUUAUUUUUCAGUAGAAAAUUUAAUGCAAACUUUACACCUCCAAAAUAUUGCCUAAAUUUGGUAAAGAUACCCUCCUUUUGUUUAAUUGUAAAGUUGAUGUUUAAGUUUGAAUUUUAUUAUGCACAAGUUAUUUUUAGAUUUUGUACAUAUCAUUAUUGAAUGAACUUUAUGCUAAGUAAAUUUUUGAUUGGUUGUCAUCUUUGAGCGAAUCUUCGACGCAAACCACCCUCGUCAAGAGCACAUGGAACCUCAAAUCCAUAAUUACAAAACUGCCCUAUAUUGUCACAUCAUCGUCUCUACAAUGAGAAAAUAUAGUGAAAUUUCAACACCUGCCAUCCCCUCCACCUCAUGCACAUAAGUCUUCUCGCUUCUCUAACUACGCAUUUUUCUUGAAAAUUCACUCUUCAUUCUUUACCAUUCAUCCAUCAUAAUAACACGGCUUUCCGCCCCCACAAAGGUGAACUGUCACUUCUCUUACCGUCCUUCCUCCUUUGUUGAUUUCUAUCAUCAACAGAUUUAUUAUUCUACAUCAUUUGUGUGACCUUUAUAGAUUUAUUUUGAUACGAUUUCAAAUAUGUUUUGAUUAUCGUUCUGAUCAUGUAUUGCAAUUGAUUUUGAUUAUAAUUAUUUAAGUAUAUUUUCAUUAUAAUCUGAUUCUAUAUUAUUGUCGAAACUAUUUUUUUUAAAUAAAAAUUAGUUUUCGAUAAAAAUUGAAAAAAUUGAGAGUCGCCACCAAUCUUUUAUUAAGGUGUAAUUUGGUCACCUAAAAACGACUUUGGUCUACGAAUUUUAGAAAAACAGGUCCGGGGGUCGGUUACAUAUGAGGAAGGAUUAGCACCCUCAUUACGCCCAAAAAUUGGUACCUAGUUAAUUAAUUAAUGUCUUAAUGUCGAAAAUUUGAAAAAUAUAAUUCUUAGCAAAAACUUAAAAAAAACGUUACGUAUUAAGACUCUUAUCAUUUCAGAGAAAGAAAAUGCUACACCCAAUGCGUUAGGGCACGACAUUCUAAUUUCCUAAAAAAUAAAUUAAGCCAAAAUACUCGUAUAAUAAAAAUUUAAAAGAAUAUCCAUUUAUUCAAUAUUUAAUAAAUCGCGGCCCAAUACGUUAGGGCACAAUUCCUCCAAAAUCUCAAACUCGAAAUAUUUCCUUUAUUAUAUAUAUAUUUUAAAAUCUUCAUUUCGAGAAAUCAAUGCGUCACAUCCAAUAUGUUAGGACACAACGUGUUGAAUUCCCAAUAAUGAGUUCUUACUUUUUGAUUAAAGAGAAAUGCUCGAUUGUUAGAUUUAACGAAGAAAAUCGGAACCUAAUACGUUAGGGCUCAAUUUCCUUGGAAAUCCUAAAUACAAGCAUUAUCUCAAUUUUGAAAAAAUUGAAAUCGAGUAAAAAAAAUGAUGUGAUGCUACAUUAAAUAUACAAUGCAAUAAUAAAUAUUACAAUGGUAUAACAAUAAUAUAAAUAAAUCAAUAAGCGAAAGUAAUAUACAUAAUAAAAAUAAUCUCAUGCAACAUAUCAAACAAAUAAAAACAUUCUUUUUUAACAUAUGAACGAAAACAUGAAUUAAUAAUCAAAUGAAAAAAAACAAAAUAUAAAGAAUAAAGGGCACAUAAUAUAUACAUUAAAAUUUAAAGACAUACACAUAAUUUACAUAUGAAUUUUUUGACUAUGAAACUUAUACAUAUAUAAUACAUGGUGCGUUUAUGAAAAUAAAAGGAAAAAAUGGAUUAUAAAGUAUAUGAAAAAAAUACAUACGUUUGCAUUUUUUUAAAAAUAAAUAUAUUCAUAUAUACAUAUAAAUACCAAAAAGAAAAAAAAUUGGUUAAAAAUAUUAAUAUGUAUACAUAUAUAUACAAAAAUACAUAUAAAUUAUAAAAUAUUUCAUUACAUAUAAAUAAAAACAUUAUUUAAAAAAUAAAUAAAUAAAUACGCGUAUGUAUAUAUGUACAAAAAAUAAAAGAUAUACAUAUAUUUAAAAAAUAAACAAAUACGAAAAAUAUAUAAAUAAUAAUAAAAUUAAUAAAAAAAUAAAGAAAAAGGGACCCAUUUGAACUGUAAGUAAAAAAUUAUGAGGCCAAUCUGCAAAUAAUUGAAGCCUGGGGACGAAAUUGAACGCGCGAAUUACAUAGAGGGGCUGGAAGGGCAAUUUUCCCUUCUUCUCAAAACGACGCCGUUUCACAUUUGGACGAAAUUGAAAACACUAAUAAAUUAAAGGGUAAAUUAAGAAAAUAAAAAAAAUUUAAUUGUAAAAACAUUAAAAGGCGGAAGGGCUAAAAGCGCAAUUUAUCCCUCCACUUAAAAACGCGCGGAUCCUAGGCCUGGUCGGGUCGGAUUCGGGUCAACCCAGGUUCAAAACGUCGUCGUUUUGAAAAGGCUAUUUAAGCCAAAUUAUCCUUCAAAAAUCAUUUUAAAACCGUUUUUUUAACAAAAAAAAGCUCUGAAAAGCUCUCCCCUCCCCCGAUAUCCGGCAUCCGGUCCAGUCAUCGGCCACCGCGCCGGCCGCCGAUCUCCAGCACCGGCACCGUCGUAUGCGGUGGCCGUAAAAGAAAAAAAUCUCGGAUCUGGUCCCUCCGAAGCCCUCAAAUGCAGAUCCAGGUUAUUUCUUUCCUUUUAUUUGUCUUCUUAUUCGUAUAAAAGUAAAUAAAAAAAAUAUAAAAAUAGUAAAUAUCAACCUUUGAAUCGAUUGUAUUGCUCUUGGUGUUUGUUGUUUUCGACUGUGGAAUAUGGAUGUUUUUAUUGAUUGCGAAUUCCCCCUUGUUUUACAGCAUUACAAUGGCUAUUUUAUAGCCGUAUGUAAUCAAUCUAAAGAAGAAACAAAUCUGUUUCUUUAUUUAAUUUACAAAUCUUUUGAUUCACUUUCCAUUUUUGUUUUUCCUUGAUGCGCAGGUGAAGAUCUACGGAGAUUCGGGGGCAUGGUUGCGGCGGCCAAAGUUUACCCUAGAACUCUAGAGUUUCUGAAAUUGUUCUUGGGCCUGGGGGUUAAUUUUGGGCCAAUCGUUGUUGUGUUUUGGUUUGGAUUUUGGGCCCAAAAAACUGUUGUAUUUGGACUGUUUUUCUUCACGAAGGCCGGGCAAAUUUGACCCAUUACAAUUAUAAUGACGGUUCUAAUUAUAAUUACACUCAAUAAUUAUUCUUAUAUAUUUAUUUUAAAAAACUUGGGCUGGAAAAAAGCCAUGUCCUAAAUAUUGAUUUGUAAAGUGCACGGGUAUUAAGUCUGAAAAACCCAUUAAACGUGCAGCUCGUGUCUUGCACACGUGAAAGUGAAGUGUGAUUUUUGUGGCCGAUGUUGUUAGAUUCAAAUGAUUUUUCUUAAAUAACGUUUUAUAUGUGAAAUAAUAAUAAUAUGACAUAUUAUAAUUAAUUUUUUAAUAAAUAUAAAAUAUUUAUAAAUAUAUUUGUAGAAAAUUUUGAAAAGAAAAUUUGAUUUUCUUUAAAAGAUAUUGUUUGCAAUAAAAUUACUCCAACUAAAAUCUAGACAUAAUUUAUUUAAAUAUAAUAUUACACAUUAGACCAAACAAUGCUGAUGUUAGAGAAAAAAUUUUAGGGGGUAAAAUUAAAUUGUAUAUUUUUAUGAUAGUAAAAAUAUAAUUUCAUCAUUUUAAUAGCCUAUAUAUUUAUAAUUUUUAAAGGAUUGAAUCAAAUUUUUAUCAUUGUUGUGAACCAAAGUGCAAUUUUACCAUUACAAAUUUAAAAUUUUAUAAAUUAUAAAUGGCCUAAAUGAAAAUUUUUCUAUUUUAAGAGGGUCGGGGCCCCUGCCAGCCACCCUGACUCCACCACUAAAACCAAAAUUUAAUUGUUAAUAUUUAUUCUUUUAUCAUUUUGAUCCUCCAAAUUUAAAAUUCAGUAAAAUUAUUUUUUUAAUAAAAAAUUGAUUGAAUUGUUAAAAUUUUAACGACAUUAAUAUAACAAAAUGUAGCAACCCACGUGUGCUCUAUUGCUCAUGAAAUUAGUACCAUUAAAAACAAAACCAAAAUAAUAAAAGAAAGUUAAAACUAAAUGAUAAAAUAAUAACUGUACGACCCAAAUUUUGCCCGGGGCCCAAAAAACUAAAGCCCAAUACCAGCAAAAAAAAUACACAGUCCAAAAUAAACAGUGGCCCAAAAUACCCAACAGGCCCAAAUUAAGAAACCUUAGCCCAAAAAUUAACCCCAUUCAGCAGUACCAAACCCUAGCCCCCAAGCCUCCAUGCGCCGCAUGCCUGCCCCUAGCCUCUGCCGCCGUCUGCCACGCCUCCAGCGCACGCCGGCCUACUCGCUCGUCUAUCACCUCAUCCGCAUGCUCUGACACCUGCAGAAGAAAGCAUCACACGCAACAAAAAGAAGCAGAAAAAUAAAUCACAAAAAAACAAAAAAAUAGAUAUCAAAAGUGGUGUAAAUCGGCUAUAAAAGCCUGGAUCUGAUACUUGUAAUUUUUCCUUUUUUACGAAUAUUUGAGAAAAUAGAAACAGAAAAAAUAUUCAAGGCUAUUUCUUUUUUUUUUAUUUCGAUCUCUCUGUUUCUUUUAUUUCUAUUAUUAUUGUUAUUAUUUUUUUAAAAACGAAUAAAAAGAAAAAGAGAAAGAAACAAACCAGAAUCGGCCUGUAGCCCCGCCGUCGGUGGUUUUUUCCCGGAGUUGGAAUCGGCAAAAAAGGAGGCAAAUGUCAAAUCUUUUUCAAUUUUUUUUUACUUUUCAGGCAUUUGCCUUGUAGAUCUAAAACCUAGGCUUAAAACGGGCUAAAAAUAAAAAAUUUGAUUCUCCGGCCACCGUGUACUGCGGCGCCAACGGCGGUGACCGGCGGCCACGACGGUGGCCAACGGCCGGAUAUUUGCCCAGACGUGGGGAGGGGGUUGAGAGUUUGAGAGAAUCUCAACUUUUUAUUUUUUUGAGAAAGAAGGAAAAAUUAAAAAAAUUAAAAAAAAUUGGGCUUUAUAGGAACAUCAAACGACGUCGUUUUGAGCCAAAGUCACCAGUGGCAAAACGGCGUCGUUUUGCCUUAAGAACCGUGGCCCGACCCAGCAGCCCACAGGAUCCGCGUGUUUUUACGGUGAAUGGGCAUUUUGCGCAGUCGGUCCCCCAUGCUUUCAGCGCAUUUCGUUUCAGUCCCCUAGCAACCUGUUUUAUUUGUUUGCAAUUUAAACUCUGAUUUUUCGUCUGAUUUCAAUUCGGUCCAUGACCUGUUUUUAUUUUUUAUUUUUAUCUCUUUUCAUUUUGUUAUUUUUUAUUAUUUCUAUUUAUAUUUUUUUUAAAAAAAGAGAGAAGGCUUCAAUAAAGUUUUCAAUUACUGUUUGCUUACUCAUACUUUUCUUAAUUUUGAUUAAUUUCAUACUUUUAUUUGUUUUAUUUAUUAUCCCUUUUUAUGUAUACUUAUGAUUAUUUGUUUUGCUUUCGCUAUUAUUAUUGUCAUCUCACUAAUAUUAUAUUUUUUAAUUUUAAAAUGUUUCUAAAAUGUGGAUACAUUAGUUCACUUUUGCUGCUAUUCUUGCUAUUGUUAGGUUGUUAUUUGCAUUAUUAUUAUUAUUCAUGCACGUUAUACUAGAACUUUUAAAUAUUAAAACAUUUGUAUUUUACGAUGUAUAUUAGGCCUUUGUUUCAAAUGCAUGUUGUAUUAUUGUUAAUAGUUAUGUACAAUUCCUUUUGCGUAUUAAAUGAUUUCUCUAAAAAACUAAUAAAUUAAAUGCAUUUUUUAAAAUGAUUUCUAAAAAACUAAAAAACUAUUCUUUUACUUAAAUUCGUAACAAAUCUCAAUAAAUAAGGCAAUAUUUUGUAUUUUAGAAAUUCGAGAAAUCGUGCCCUAACUUACUGAGCUUCGAUUUGUCUCGUUGUUUCUAAGUAAUUGAAUAUCCUUUUAAAAUUAAAAUAAAAAGUGAAAUGCAAACUUACUCUCAAAAUAUGAGAUGUUGGGUCCUAACUAACUGGGUGUGACAUCUUGCUACUUCGAGAUAAGAAAGCAUUUUUCCAUUUUGAUUUAUUCGAGUAAUUUUAAAAUAACACACGUAAAGAAGGAUCGUAUUUUUAAAUUCUUUAAAGUUCUCAAUUUUCGACACCAAGACAUUAAGUAAUCAACUAGGUACCAAUUUUGGGCGUAUCGAGGGUGCUAAUCCUUCCUCGUGCGAAACCGACUCCCGGACCCAUUUUUUCUGAAUUUCGUAGACCAAAAUCGUUGUUUUAAUAAAAAUUAAAUCGUUUAUUAAAAACAACCACUUUUCGGUGACCCGAUCACACCUUAUCAAAAAAAAGAUUGGUGGCGACUCCCGAUUUUUUCGUUUUGUUUUUAAAAUCCAAGUCGACCCCGUUUUGUCAAAAAAAUGGUGUCAACAGCUUGGCGACUCCGCUGGGGAACAAAAUAAGAGAGUCAAGCCACGUGUUGAUUGUUUCUCGUCUUUUUGUCGAAAGUUGAAAAUUAUAUUUAAAUUUACAAUCCUCUCGUUGCAUCUCUUUUGUCUUGAGUUAUAUUUUUCAUCAUGUUCUGUAUUUUAUUUUUAUACCUCUGCAUUGCAUUGCUUGACCGUGGGUCAUACCUUUUAAGUGGGAGUGAGAAACUACGCCUUCGUGAGGUUUUCACCUCCGCAUGAGAUAGUGAAUCGCUUCCGGGAUACAUCCGUACCUAUGUCUUCGUGAGAUUUUCAUCUCCGUGCAGUUAUAGGGAAAUGUAUUCCCCUGAACCGAACUCGGUCCGUAUGAGCCUAUAAUGGGUGAGGAUCGAGGAAUCUGCUGGUUCGGGUACCCUCGCUUUAGAACCAAACAACAUAUAGUGAGCCCUAAGAGCCUACCCUAUGUAGAACCACUUCAAACCCCUAGUGGUCACCCGAAUAGGUGUUCUAUUUAUUCUUGCUUACUUUUGCUCUGUACUAACCUGUUUUCUUUUGUUUUGGUUAUGAUUGCAUUACAUGUUCAUCAUAAAAAAGAGGUGUUAAUUCAUGUUCAGUUGCUAAAUAGAGAGCUUAUCAUAAGAAAAUGAGUUUCUUGAUAAAGUGGAUAAUAAUACGGUUGUCCGGAUAUGAUCUAAGAAAAUGUGAUAAGAGAAUGGUGAUAAUUUAAUGGAGGACUACACGACUUUGCUUUAUUGCCCAAGUAUUCAAGAUGACAAAGAUUAUUCGAGAGCCACUAAACUUUCUUAAAGAAAAGCCAACGAGCAUUAUGAGGAUGAGUGAGCAACGAGUCGCGGCCCAGAAGAAAUAGAAGAGACAUCCCUUUUGGAGAGUUCGUGAAAUUUAUCUUAACGCUUGAAUGAAGAAGAGGAUCGAAUGUCUCCGUAUAUGAGGGCAAAACUGUAUAUAUAUCCACUUUAUGUAAAGAGAUUUGUUUUCUAGUAAAAUUGUUCUAAUAGAAUUGAACCAAGAAUCAACGUCUCUUUUUUUUGUAUUCAUGCAUCAACAUUACAUUUCAUUGCAUACAAUAAAUUUCAUAAAAUCCAAAAAUACGCAUUCAUGCAUCAACAUUACAUUUCAUUGCAUACAAUAAAUUUCCUAAAAUCCAAAAGUACGUCGAGUUUAGAACUCUAGUACAAAACCAGAUGGAUCAGAAUUCUUUGAAUAUAUCGAUGGUUCGAAAGGUGAAGAUGUGUGUGCCUUUGAAGAAGAACUAAAAAAAUGAAAAAACCUAUCAUGAAUUUAUUUCUACAUCCCUAGAGGCGUUCUAAACAACUGGACUGUGGAGGAGAUUCUUGUAAUAUUUAGGACCAUUUCAGAGUAAUAUUUGGAACACUCUUAUUGUUCUAAGCCUGGGAGCAAUAGAAAAUCCUUUUAUGAAAAGGCAUAUGUCCACUAUUCUUUAUUUCAACGAAAUGCAUCUUUGUGUCUUGUUUUGGAAAAUAUUCUUUUGUUCCUUCCAGUUCAUUCAUACUCAUACCACACGGGUAAUUACCCUUUGAUUCGUUAGCUCUUUGAGACUUCCUUCGUCCCUAGAAUAGGUCUCCAGAUAUCAAUGAUAUGAGCGACACUGCUAUUGACUCAGAACUUUCUUUUGAGCAAGAUAUGUGUUUAGAGGAACCUCGAAACUUCGAAGAUGAUCGAGACUGUAGCUUAUCUCUUGAUUUGUUAAUGAUGGUAGAGCAAGUCGAAAAGUAAAUCCUACCUUACAAAAAAAUCAGUUGGAAAUUGUGAGCUUAGGAGAAGAGAAAAAGGUGAAGAUCAGAGCCUGUAUCACCGCAGAGACGAAGCGAGAUGUCAUUGAGUUACUCCAAGAAUUCAAAGAUGUUUUCACAUGAUCAAGAUAUGCUUGAGCUACAAAGACGUGUGGACGCCCUUAAGGAAAAGAAGAUCUUGGAAGAGGUCUAUACGGGUGUCUGAGGAACACAUGCAUUGAUUUUGCAAUGGCCAAGUGAAUCAUGAGAUAUGGGUACUACUGGUCCACCAUGGAAGGGGAUUGCAUCAGUUAUACCAAGAAACGCCACAAGGGCCAAAUUUACGGGGACAAAAUUCAAGUACCUCCAUCUAUUCAUGUUAUGACUUUUCCAUGACCUUUCUCUAUGUGGGGGCAUGGAGGUCAUUGGGCUAAUCUCGCCAAAAGCUUCUAGCGGUCAUCGAGUCAUCUUUGUAGUCAUCGAUUACUUCAUUAGGUGGGUGGGAGCUGCUUCAUAUGCCAAUAUCACAAAGCUGACAAUCAAAAAAUUUCUUGAAGAAUCAUAUGUCAAUAUGGAAUGCCAAAAAGGAUCAUAUUAGAUAAUGCAUUGAAUUUGAACAACCGCACGACAUCAGAAGUUUGCAGUCUGUUCAAGAUUAGCAUCAUGUCGCCUCAAAAUGAACAGUUCAGUGGAGGCAAAAAAUAAAAAAACAAAAAAAAGAGCAAAAAAGCAAAAAAAAGUAAGCAAAAGAAAACGAGAAAACAAAAGAAAAAAAAUAAAAAAUAAAAGAGAAAAAAUAAGAGAAAAAAAACCUCUACCAGGGCAACUCAUUUCUCAAUGGCAUUUGGAAUAGGGACAUUUUUACCCAUCGAAGUUGAUAUUUCUUCCCUUCGAGCCUUGUCAAAGUUGAAGUUGAAUGAAGUAGAAUGGAUCCAGGUCUGAUAUAAUUGAAGAGAAAAGGUUAAAAGCUAUCCGUCAUGGUCAAAUGUACCAAAAGCAAAUGAUGCGAGCUCACCAAAAAAAGGUUCACCCUAGAGAAUUCCAUGAGGGGACCUAAUAUCGAGGAAGAUCCUUCCCAUGCAAAAGGACUUCAUAGGAAAGUGUAUGUCAAACUGGAAAGGACCUUAUGUGGAAGGCCUUAUCUGAAAAAGCAUCGAUAUUGACCAAGAUGGAUGGCAAAAACCUGCCUAAUCUUGAGAAUUCUGAUUCAAGCAAUAAAUACUUCACUCAAAAAAAAGAAAACAAAAAAAAAGAAAAAAAGAACAAAAAGAAAAAUGAGAGGCCAAGGAGAAAACCCGCAAAGGGCGCCUUGAGACCAAAGGGUUUUGAAUUUAAAACCCAGAAAUGGGCAGUUCAAAUUUUGAUCAAAGGUGGGGCAUGCGGUAGUCUUGCCAUUUCUGAAUUAAUAAGAAGGAGAGAUGCUAAAUCUUGGGGCAUCAACAAAGUCUUCUAGGUCUUCUAGACACAUAUCAAGUUCAAAAGGGUCUUCAAAAUGUUUAGGGCAGAGAAGCUCAUGCUAUGAUAUCUGGGGCACCUAUUUCCAUUUUAUUCAUUUUUGUAUUUUUGACAAAAUAUGCCAUCUUGAUUAAUUUAUUCUCAUUUUGUAUUCUAGCAAAAUUUGCUAUCUUGAUUAAUUUGUUCAUUUAGAGCUUUACUCUUAACAAAUUUCCAUCUUAUCCAUUGUGAUAAUCUUUUUCAUCUUAUUCAUCUCGUAUCUCAGCAAAAUACGCUAUCUUGAUUGAUUUUUUGUUUAGAGCUUUGCUCUCAACAAAAUUUCAUUUUUUCCAUUUUGAUAAUCUUUUUCAAGCAUUUUUCAUUGAAAUAACGAUUAAUGGACUGACAAUACUCAUGCGGAAGGAGUUCUGCAUAUUACUCUGAAUGUUUCUAAAUAAUACGAGGACCUGAAACAGGACUAUUGUUUAGAACUGACCAAACCUCAGGGUUGAAAACAUUUGAGAAAGGAUAGUCUAAAUUGAGACUAUUUCUUUGAAUCUUCUGUCAAAGAUACUUGCUGAACGAGAAAGCAUCAGUGAUAGAACCUUGAUGAACAACGAGGAAUGACAACCCAAACAUUAAAAAGGGAUCAUUCUCAUGACAUUUUGCAUUCAUGCAAAUAUGUAUUCAUUCAAAUUUAGUUAGGAGCACUUGAUUCAUUCUAAUCAUGACGUCCUAAACACUAGACAUAAGUAGGUCCAUGAAAUGAAUUUUGCAGGUCAUGUUCCCCAGAGAACAGAUCAAAGAAACAGGUCCUAUAUCCCUAAAGUUGCAGUGGGAUAGAUUGAAGUCAUUAAAGCAGAUCUUAUCUUCAUGUAUUGGCGUGAAGUAGAUCGUAGAAAGCAGAUCUUGUCUUCAUGUAUUGGCGUGAAGUAGAUCGAAGAUAGCAGGUCCUGUCUUCCUAUAUUGGUAGGAAGCAGAUUGAAGAUUGCAGAUAUUGCCUUCCUGUAUUUGGCAGCGAAACAGAUCGUAGAUGGCAGAUUUUACCUCACUGACUACAGUGGAGUACAUUGAAGCCGAUAACUCUAUCUCCCUGGUUGGCAGUGGAAUAGAUUGAAGAUUGCAGAUCAUGCCUUCCUGUAUUUGGCAGCGAAGCAGAUCGAAGAUGGCAGAUUUUACCUCCCUGUGACUACAGUGGAGUACAUUGAAGCCGAUAACUCUAUCUCCCUGGUUGGCAGUGGAAUAGAUUGAAGAUUGCAGAUCUUGCCUUCCUGUAUUUGGCAGCGAAGCAGAUCGAAGAUGGCAGAUUUACCUCCACGUGACUACAGUGGAGUACAUUGAAGUCGAUAACUCUAUCUCCCUGUAUUUGGCAGUGGAAUAGAUUGAAGAUUGCAGAUCUUGCCUUCCUGUAUUUGGCAGCGAAGCAGAUCGAAGAUGGCAGAUUUUACCUCCCUGACUACAGUGGAGUACAUUGAAGCCGAUAACUCUAUCUCCCUGUAUUUGGCAGUAGAAUAGAGUGAAGAAAACCAGAUCUUAUCUCCCUAAGCAAUAGUUGAGCAGAUCGCGUCAAGUCUUAUCUCCCUAAGCAGUAGCGGAGCGAACAAAACCACAGAUCAUAUAUCCCUAAGCAAUAGUGGAGCAGAUCGCAUCAAGUCUUAUAUCCCUAAGCAGUAGCGGAGCAGACAAAACCACAGAUCUUAUCUCCCUAAGCAAUAGUGGAGCGGAUCGCAUCAAGUCUUAUCUCCCUAAGCAGUAGCGGAGCGGACAAAACCCCAGAUCUUAUCUCCCUAAGCAAUAGUGGAGCAGAUCGCAUCAAGUCUUAUCUCCCUAAGCAAUAGCGGAGCGGACAAAACCACAGAUCUUAUCUCUCUAAGCAAUAGUGGAGCAGAUCGCAUCAAGUCUUAUCUCCCUAAGAAGUAGCGGAGCGGACAAAACCACAGAUCUUAUCUCCCUAAGCAAUAGUGGAGCAGAUCGCAUCAAGUCUUAACUCCCUAAGCAGUAGCGGAACAGACAAAACCACAGAUCUUAUAUCCCUAAGCAGUAAUGGAGCAGAUCACAUCUAGUCUUAUCUCCUUAGGUAGUAGUGGAGCAGACGAAAGAAACCAAUCCUAUCUCCCUGAAGUUGCAGUGAAGUGGAUUAAAACCACAAAUCUCAUCCCCUGAAGUUAUAGCAGAAUAGAAUGAAGCUACUUGAAGAAGAGCGGCACCCAAGGAGUCAAGACUCGGUGAGACCGGGCAAAAUUGGUCUUUCUUAGUCUUUGCUCUAUUCUCGUUACACGAAAAUGAGCAAAGAGGGGCAGCUGUAAGACCCAAAUUUAGCCCGGGGCCCAAAACACUAAAGCCCAAUACCAGCAAAAAAAAGACACAGUCCAAAAUAAACAGUGGCCCAAAAUACCCAACAGGCCCAAAUUAAGAAACCUUAGCCCAAAAAUUAACCCCAUUCAGCAGUACCAAACCCUAGCCCCCAAGCCUCCAUGCGCCGCAUGCCUGCCCCUAGCCUCUGCCGCCGUCUGCCACGCCUCCAGCGCACGCCGGCCUACUCGCUCGCCUAUCGCCUCAUCCGCAUGCUCUGACACCUGCAGAAGAAAGCAUCACACGCAACAAAAAGAAGCAGAAAAAUAGAUCACAAAAAAACAAAAAAAAAUAGAUAUCAAAAGUGGUGUAAAUCGGCUAUAAAAGCCUGUAUCUGAUACUUGUAAUUUUUCUUUUUUUUACGAAUAUUUGAGAAAAUAGAAACAGAAAAAAUAUUCAAGGCUAUUUCUUUUUUUUUUAUUUCGAUCUCUCUGUUUCUUUUAUUUCUAUUAUUAUUGUUAUUAUUUUUUUAAAAACGAAUAAAAAGAAAAAGAGAAAGAAACAAACCAGAAUCGGCCUGUAGCCCCGCCGUCGGUGGUUUUUUCCCGGAGUUGGAAUCGGCAAAAAAGGAGGCAAAGGUCGAAUCUUUUUCAUUUUUUUUUACUUUUCAGGCAUUUGCCUUGUAGAUCUAAAACCUAGGCUUAAAACGGGCUAAAAAUAAAAAAUUUGAUUCUCCGGCCACCGUGUACGGCGACGCCAACGGCAGUGACCGACGGCCACGACGGUGGCCAAUGGCCGGAUAUUUGCCCAGAAGUGGGGAGGGGGUUGAGAGUUUGAGAGAAUCUCAACUUUUUAUUUUUUUGAGAAAGAAGGAAAAAUUAAAAAAAAUUAAAAAAAAUUGGGCUUUAUAGGAACAUUCAAACGACGUCGUUUUGAGCCAAAGUCACCAGUGGCAAAACGGCGUCGUUUUGCCUUAAGAACCGUGGCCCGACCCAGCAGCCCACAGGAUCCGCGUGUUUUUACGGUGAAUGGGCAUUUUGCGCAGUCGGUCCCCCAUGCUUUCAGCGCAUUUCGUUUCAGUCCCCUAGCAACCUGUUUUAUUUGUUUGCAAUUUAAACUCUGAUUUUUCGUCUGAUUUCAAUUCGGUCCAUGACCUGUUUUUAUUUUUUAUUUUUUAUUUUUAUCUCUUUUCAUUUUGUUAUUUUUUUAUUAUUUCUAUUUAUAUUUUUUAAAAAAAAAGAGAGAAGGCUUCAAUAAAGUUUUCAAUUACUGUUUGCUUACUCAUACUUUUCUUAAUUUUGAUUAAUUUCAUACUUUUAUUUGUUUUAUUUAUUAUCCCUUUUUAUGUAUACUUAUGAUUAUUUGUUUUGCUUUCGCUAUUAUUAUUGUCAUCUCACUAAUAUUAUAUUUUUUAAUUUUAAAAUGUUUCUAAAAUGUGGAUACAUUAGUUCACUUUUGCUGCUAUUCUUGCUAUUGUUAGGUUGUUAUUUGCAUUAUUAUUAUUAUUCAUGCACGUUAUACUAGAACUUUUAAAUAUUAAAACAUUUGUAUUUUACGAUGUAUAUUAGGCCUUUGUUUCAAAUGCAUGUUGUAUUAUUGUUAACAGUUAUGUACAAUUCCUUUUGCGUAUUAAAUGAUUUCUCUAAAAAACUAAUAAAUUAAAUGCAUUUUUUAAAAUGAUUUCUAAAAAACUAAAAAACUAUUCUUUUACUUAAAUUCGUAACAAAUCUCAAUAAAUAAGGCAAUAUUUUGUAUUUUAGAAAUUCGAGAAAUCGUGCCCUAACUUACUGAGCUUCGAUUUGUCUCGUUGUUUCUAAGUAAUUGAAUAUCCUUUUAAAAUUAAAAUAAAAAGUGAAAUGCAAACUUACUCUCAAAAUAUGAGAUGUUGGGUCCUAACUAACUGGGUGUGACAUCUUGCUACUUCGAGAUAAGAAAGCAUUUUUCCAUUUUGAUUUAUUCGAGUAAUUUUAAAAUAACACACGUAAAGAAGGAUCGUAUUUUUAAAUUCUUUAAAGUUCUCAAUUUUCGACACCAAGACAUUAAGUAAUCAACUAGGUACCAAUUUUGGGCGUAUCGAGGGUGCUAAUCCUUCCUCGUGCGAAAUCGACUCCCGGACCCAUUUUUUCUGAAUUUCGUAGACCAAAAUCGUUGUUUUAAUAAAAAUUAAAUCGUUUAUUAAAAACAACCACUUUUCGGUGACCCGAUCACACCUUAUCAAAAAAAAGAUUGGUGGCGACUCCCGAUUUUUUCGUUUUUAUUUUUAAAAUCCAAGUCGAUCCCGUUUUGUCAAAAAAAUGGUGUCAACAAUAACCAUUCAAUAUUAAGUUUAGCAUUAUAUUAUUUUGAAUUUGAAGAAAUGGCGACACAUACUAUCUUCCCUAAAAAUUCAACUAACUUCUCCCAUUGAAAUUUUAAACCUAAUGGGCCAUCAUCUUUUAAUAAUACCAUUAUUUUCACGUUUCCAAUUUUAUGUAGUCACGCUCGGACAACCUUUUUCUCCGUCCUAAAGCUAAAAUUGUACUUCCACAAGAAAACAAAAAAUUAUUUGUGGGGGAAAUAAAAAUAACGUUGGUGGGUCAAACUUCUAAAUUGUGGCUUUGCGGCUGUUCAUACCCAACGUCACAUUAAGUUACAAAAGGAAUAGUGUCAUCAAAAAUCCCAUAAGUAAAGUGGGUUAACAUUAUAUUUGUUUAAGGAAAUAAAAAUUGACAUGACUAAUCAAAAAAAAAUGAUUGAAUUUUAACAAUAAAAAACGAUGAAAUUUUUAACAGAAUAAUUAAUUUAUUAUUUAUCUAACGUAAAAGGAUUAAUUUAUUUAUUUUUAAAAUAAAUGAACAAAAUGCAACAUGAUUCUCGAUACAAAAGUCUCUACGAUACUUUUAACAAUGCAAACCAGGUCUAAAUAUUGUAUAAUAUUUAAAGCCUAAACAAAGGGUAGAAAUCAAUGUUGAUAAAAACAGAUGAAAUUAAGAGGAUUGAGCAAACACAAAAGGAGCAAACAUUGUUGAGCCUAUCUUACAAUGCCGUAGAUUACCUCAAAGUGAUUAUCGCUUGUGACCGGCAGCUUACCCAUGGUUCUCAUAGAUGCCAUGGAGCAUGAUUCUCUAUUUGCGUAACAUUGGAUUCUAUCAAUUAAAUUGGAUUUGUUAAUCGGAUAUAUAACCUACUCAAUAAAUCAAACAUUAAUUGUUGCUCGAAAAGAAUCUAUCAUCUACUACUUUUAACAUCGCUAGUAAUAAAAAUAAUCUUUUUCUCAUAUUUUCUUAUCAAAUUUUUUUUUUACAUUUAUAUUUGAUACAUAUUCGAGUAAUAAUAUAAUAGGAUAAUGAAUGGUAAAAUCAAAGAGAAGAUUCCCACGUUCUAGGCCAAACCAACGCCUAACAUAAAAGCAUAAAUCACAUGCAAAUGCAUUUGGUGAAUUGGCAUUUGCCAAGCAAUGCUAUUAUGCUAAUUAGGUAGAUGCGUGGUGGUCGGUAUAUAUAUAUAUAUAUAUAUUAAAAGAAUCUUCAAAAUUUUAGAAGUUAUUUCUUAAAUUUUUAUUUUAAAUCCAGGGCUAAUUGUUAGUAUUAUUAAAUUUGUUAAAAUUUAAGAAUUUAACAAUAUUAAGGGUCGAAUUGAAUUUUAAAAUAUAAAAAACAGAAAGAAUAAUUUCUAAAAAUAAAAUAAAUAGAUUAAAUUCUAAAUUUUCGAAAAUUGCAACAUUAACCAUAUAUAUUACAUGGUUUUGAACGUUUGGAAAUUGGAAUUGACACAAAUACCUAAUCUAAAUUAGUGUUUUUGGAGAUCUUUAUUUAAUUAUUAUUUUCGAGAUUGUUUGCUUAAAGUGUGAACAAGUUUUGCAUAAGGAACGCUGACUUGUCACUCAAAAGAUAGACAGUCUUAUUAAAAUACUUAAGUCAAAACUAAAUUAUGAAUUUUUAGAAAAUGAAAUUUAAUUUUAUUAUUAUAUUAAUUUGCAAUUUCAUUUUUUUAAAUAAAUCUAAAUACAAUAUUUGUUAUUUUCAGACCAAGGUCUUGUCUCCCAAUAAUGACGCAACUUUCGGAUUUCUUAUGAUUAAUUUAUUAUUUGGUAAAUUUUAUUAUAUAAAAUAUAAUUUUUAAACAUACGAAAUAUUUUAUAAAAAAUUGUGUACUUAUCUCUCGUUUAAAUACACAAUUUUAAAAAAAAUUAGAAUUACAAUCCGACAUACGAAUCCCUUUAUCUUUAUUCUCUACUCGAUCAGUGCUUGUGCAAUGACCUUGUCAUAGGUGUGUUGCCCUCGUAAGAUAUCCUUAUUCUUAUUGGGAUAAAUCUAUUUUCUCAAUAUGUUCCUAUUUUAUCUCAUGAUAACUAUUAUAUUUUACUUCAUGAUAAGUCAAUUACUACAAAAUUAAGUCAUCCAUCACAAAGACAAAUGACACGUGACCAUGUUUACUUUUCAUUUAUUAUGUAAUGUCGAUGAGAGGAUAUCAUUUACCUAUUCCUUAGGCUAUAAAUUUCACUAUUGGGAAUAAUGCUACAUACUACAAAAACUGUAUACCCAAUACACUAGCUUUCGAUUCCCAAUCUAUUUCAACUCAGGCUUUUACUUGUAUCAAAGUAUAAGAGUCACGUAUACAUAGUCCAUCAUCCAUUCAAGAUUAAGGUGUGACACACUAUGAAGAUCACAAGUGAAUAAAUUCAUAAAAGGAUUUAGGAUCUAUUCUACUUGGAUCUUGUCCGAUGUACUGUUAGUCCAAUUUGUCACAUCUAUGUCUCUAUCUUUUAGGUAUCAUCUGUUCUGAUCUUUAAGACAAAGCAUCUCCCCAAUUGGACUUGAUAGACGUUAUUUUUGUCUUUCAAUCAGUUUGCUCUUUUUUUACUAGACUAAUGACAUAUUCAGGUUCAUCUACUAAUACAAGUUGUAUUUUUGUAUUACGAUCCAACCACGUAAUACUCAUUUGUAUUAGUUAAUAUUAGAUAACCAGUGAACUAGUAUUUUCUUUCAUUUUGUUGUGUGUAAACACCAUUGAGGACAACAUACAAAAUGUAUUAAUGCAAUUAAUGAAUAAUUUUAUUAAACUAAUAUGUUCAAAAAAUACAAGUAUGCAAAUGAAUAUACUACACUUAGGGCAGCAGAUCCAACAGGCUUGUGCACCAAUUGCACGUUACUACCAUCUUUUACACUCGACUCCUUUUGCUUUUGACCAUUAUGAACCACGGCUUGCUCACUUGUUUUGGCAAUGGAACAUCUUCCCUAAGCAUGGCCAAAACACCCACAACCAUAACAAAUCAUUGGUAGCCUUUCACACUCAAUUUGUUGUAGCAAACCAUCAAUGCUAACAUAGGGUAUUAAUGGCUUUUUCAAACCAACAACCACCGCUACCCGAGCAAAUCAUCCCCUAUUUCUAAUCGUAUUAUUGUAAUAGACCUUUAUGACUACCCACAACUGUUGUGAUAACCCUCGUUAGUUAUUUCGUAUAACACUGAUAGAGCAACCCUAAAAACCGAAUCCAUGCCACAAUCUUCGAUGACAAAGUUUCCUUGAUGGUGAAAUCACGGCUUCAUGGUUGAACAACCAAGUAGUGGCCAUAUAUCAUCCAUGGCCUUCUUGACAACACCCAUUCAUAAUCCUCCAAACAUGCAAACUUAACUAAAAAAUAAUUAUUAUCAAGGUCAACAAAAGUCACCCACUAACUCCCACAUGAUUUUUAUCCUGUUGACUAGAGCCUUGUACCCAAUGGAUCGAGCAAGCAACCUUGCAAUGAUCGUUUGCUUCAUGCUUUAGUCUAUCAUCUUAUGUAUCCGUUUCAAGAUAAAGGCCUUCCAUGGACACAUAAACGUCACCCUUAAGGAGAGAAAUCUCAAUAUCAUCUAAACUAACAUCCUUCCCAUUAUUAACAUUGCUAUCCUUCAUUAGCAUCUCCUUAAAGGAGACCUUCCCCGGCUUGGCAACAUCUUCCAUCUAAUGAUCCGAUACCGUCUCUUCCAUGACAUCUUUAUUAUUGACUUUUUUUGUAGCCAUCUCAAACUCUGGUGGUAGCGACGAACUAGGCCUUUCGAGUUUGUUGAGCUGAACAAUGGGAACCACCAUUCUCAGCUCUUCUAAUUGCUUUUCUUUUAGCCUCCAGUAACUUGGUAAAUGCUAACUUUGUUACAACUUUGAUUUAUUUGAUUAUUUUUAAUAGUAUAGGGACUAAAUUGAUUAAUUUAAGAAUAGAAUGACUAAUUUGAAUUAGUCUUUAUAAUACAAAGACCUCUCAAACAAUUUAACCUAAUUAAUUUAUUAAAAAGUUUGAAGUCAAUUUUGUUGAAAGUUCAAACUUUCAUUUAGCUUUCAACACUAAAUUAAUUGACCAAAAAUAAAGUCAUACUGACCAAGUUAAACAUUAUUUUGCGUCCUUCUGGGUAGUUCAAGCAUUAAUUUUAAUUUCUUUUUUAAAAAUAUUUUCUAUUUAAUUAAAAACAUUAUAAUAUAAAAAAAUACAUCAUCAUGUAUUUAUUUUUCUAUUUAAAUAAAAACAUUAUAAUAUAAAAAAUACAACAUAAUCUAUUUCAUAUUUUUAUAAUCAACGAAAAAUAACACCAACAUGGUAUUGAAAUUAAUAAGAGUCCCUAUUAAAAAGAAUAUAAUUAAGAAAUAUUUUAAAAUAAAAUAAAAACUCGAAUUAAAUAUCACAAAUAACCAAAUGAUUCGAGAUAAAAUUUUUUUAUUUGAAUUAAUAUUUAUGUUUAAGAUUUUAUGUGGUCAAAGAAUGUUAUGUUGCCAUUAAUUUUAAAAUAUCCUAAUAACCUCGUCCAAACUCAUUGUCAAAUCUUUAAAUUGAACAAGAAAAUUAUAAUAUUAUUUAUUUAUAAAUAAAUAAGUUUUAAAAUAAAUAAAUUUUUGACAAUUAAAUUUCAAAGGCGAAACCCACAACAAAUUCCCAUUAAUUGCUCACCAUUAUUGACAGAUUGAUGAAAGUUAAUUCAGUUCAUACCACAGUUAAAAUAAAAUUAUAAUAAUUUAAUUUAUAACUUUCUACCAAAUAUCCCAUUUAAAUAUUUUUUUGAAUAUAUUUUAUAAUAUGCUAAAAUUUUUAUGAUUGAGACUUAAACAAAUGUUUUCAAUAAUGUAUAUUUUCAUAAAUUUAAUUUUUAAAAAUUUAUUCUCUGUAUUUUUAAGGUUUCAAAAUUCAGGGCCUAUUAAUAUUAUGAUUUUUUUAUUAAAUUCAUAUUUAUUAUAAUGUCAUUUUUUAGUUACAUUGUAUUAAAUAAAUACUUUUUUAAUUUCAAAAUGUCAACACCAACUAAUUUAACAAAAAAAAGUGUAGAUGUGAGGUGCAUUUUUUUACUUACAUGUGCAUCAUGCUUUUUUUAUGACUAUAUGUAUAUAUAUAUUAUUUUUUAAUAUUUGAAUGUUUAAUAAAAUUUAAAUUAUUGUGGAUGUGGCGUAUAUAAUAAAUGAUGCCAUUUUAGUAUGAAGUGCACGUAAACUGCUGUAUAGGUUGUCACACUAACAUUGUUAAAAGUUUAAAGUUUUAGUAAGCAUUUACGUUAAAAAAAUAAAUUGAUUCUUUUUAAAAGUUUUAGGUCCAAUUUAGCUCAAAAAAGAAUAAGGAUUAAAUUGAUAAAAAUAUAAACAUUGAGUGUUAAAUUUAUCAAUAAACCUAUAAUAAUACAAAUGUAGUAUUAUAAUGUUGAAAAAGUAAAGUAAAAAACGAGUAUGGACCUCUUUAAAAAAUUUUCAAAAUUAAAAUAAGUUUAAAAAAAAAGUCAGUAAACGUGAAAAACGAGGAAACGCGGCGACGAAAAUGAAAAAUAAAUUUCGUCGCUAUAUAAAUAAGAGAAAUGCCUCUCAGUUUACAUAUAGACAAAGAAAGCGGAGCAUGUGCCAGCGUCUUCACCAACAGAGCAUCAGCACCAGGCGGCAACUAAAUGCUCUUCCCAACCUACCCAUUUUACCAACCAGAAGCCAUUUUCGAUUAAAAUAACGAAAUAAAAGCCUAUUUUUAAUCGACUUUUUAUCCAUUUUUGCCCAUUUAAGAUCCAACAUUUGGCAUUUAUUCCAGACUUUAUCUAAAUUUUAGAAGCCCUUUUUCUGCUAGAAAAAUUAUUAAUAAUGGUAGAAAAAUAGAUAAAACGUUUUAUUAAGGUUUUUAAGAAAAAAAUCUUUUUUUUCUUCUUCUGAUAUUCUGGGAAUCCUUAUCCAUAAUCUAUUCAGCACUUAUCGUCUUUGUUUAUCUUUUCUUUUUAUUCGAGGUCGUUUCUUCUUCUCUUUUUAUUUACCCCAGCUCCUUCUCCUUUUUCUUCUUUUAAUCCCCUUUCCAGAUUAAAAAAAGUUUGGGUGUUUGUUUUUUUGGUCUGGGUUUAGAGUUUUUUAUUAUUAUUAUAGAAAAACAAACCCUUGAGGAAUCGCUGUGUCUGAAGCUAACUCUUUGGAUUUCAUCGAAGGGGGGUUGUUCUAAAGGAUGGUUUUGGUGUCGGUUUUUUUGGAGAUUUUAAGGAAACCCACAAUUGGAGAUGUUUUGAAGGAGCUAAUGAUUUUCAUAGCUCCUUUAUGGAUUGCUGUAAUUGUUGGUGUUUUAGUCGGAUGGGCUUGGAAGCCAAAGUGGGCAAAUAUAGGCAGAGAAAUGAUGAUUGAUUGCUCAGUCUCUAAAGAUUCAACACCUUCAUCUUCAGAUUCUUCAUCUACAAGUUUCAAUCUCAUUUCAAGCUUGAAUUCGAUCAAAUUUUUAUUGCCUAGUUGCAUCUCUUGGAUUACAGAUGAUGAAGCUCAAAGCGAUCCUUUUUCUUUGCCACCCACCGUUGAUUCCAAUUGCAGGUUCGCAAUUUCAUCAUUUGAUUUCUCCUUUUAAUGUUAGUUUGGGGUUUGAAGUGCAAUGAAAAUUGGAUUUAUCUUUGAUUUUGCUAAUCCCUAAUAUUUUCUUGUAAUUUGGGUACAGUUCAUCACAGAUUCCAAAGGGGAAAACUAGUUUUGUGACAAAUGAGGAUUUAGAGCAUUUUGUUAAUUUAGUUGAAGAAAAAGAUGGAGGACCUGCUUGGAUUCAUAUGAUGGAUUGUUCUACUCCAACUAUGUUUUAUCAAGCUUGGCAAAGAGAUCUUGAGGUAUAUAUAUAUAUUCAAUUUAUGUCCUCUUAUAAUUUCAUUUGGUUGAUUAUUGAAUUAUGUUUAUGUCUUGGCUGUUCAAUCAGGCUGGUCCUACGGAAUAUCGUAGCCGAACCGUUUUCGAAGAUACCACUCCCGAGAUGGUGAGGGAUUUCUUUUGGGACGAUGAGUUUCGACCCAAGUGGGAUAACAUGCUUGUUAGUGCUGCAACUAUGGAGGAGUGUCCCACCACUGGGACCAUGGUGGUUCAUUGGGUUCGCAAGGUUUGUAGAACUUUUCUUUUUCGGUUCAUUUUCGUUGUAUCGGAGUAUUAUGUUCUAAUAUGUCUUGUAUUUUGCAGUUUCCUUUCUUCUGCAGUGAUAGAGAAUACGUGUUCGGUCGUCGGAUUUGGGAGUCCGGGCGUGCAUAUUAUUGUGUUACUAAGGUAAUUUUCAGCUUUGGUAUGUUUACUGUUUCGUAGGCUUUUGAGUUGCAGUAAUCCGAUAACUACUUGAGUGAAUGGACAUUCUUUUACGAAUUCGAUAUCUCAAGAUGGUUAUCAGAUAGUAGUAGGCAUCAUCAUGUUAACCAACUCUCUACUCAUAGCAUGUUUACUUCACAUUUCAGGGAGUACCAUAUGGUUCUGUACCGAGGAAAAACAAACCCAGGCGUGUCGAUUUAUACUAUUCGAGUUGGUUAAUCCGUGCAGGUAUUGGACUCGACAUCAUUUUUUCCCUGCCUGCUAUGUCCAUUUAAGUACCGAAUACAUAUACCAUAAUAUAAAUUCUUGGCCCGUAAUCUGUUUGUUAUUCGUUUCAAACAGUUGAAUCAAGGAAAGGAGACGGUCAGCUAACUGCAUGCGAGGUGUUACUUUUCCAUCACGAAGAUAUGGGUAUACCAUGGAAAAUUGCAAAGGUUGGAGUCCGGCAAGGCAUGUGGGGAACCGUCAAGAAGAUCGACCCCGGCCUACGUGCAUAUCAAAAGGAAAGAACAUCCGGAAAUACGCUAUCCCAUUGCGCUUUCAUGGCUCAGAUAAACAGUAAAAUAAGUGCAGACUAUCUGAGAUCCUUUGAAAGCAAAAGUAACGAUUCAUCAGAGCUCGAAACACAUAAUUCAUCUGAGAAACCGUCAGGGAAAAACAUUCCCAAACUUUUAGUCGUUGGUGGGGCUAUCGCCCUUGCUUGUAGUUUUGAUCGAGGCCUCUUGACCAAAGCUGUUAUAUUUGGAGUAGCUCGAAGGUUUGCAAACAUCGGAAAGAGAUUGUAACUCGGGUAUAUUUACUGUCGUGAUUCCGAGAAUGCCAGCGGAGCUAAUUGCUGCUGCAAAUGAAAGUGAGAGAUGUUACCACCAAGGGCCGAAAUCUUUUUGCUUGCCUGCUUUUUUUAAAGGAUCAAAGAUCGUAAACUCUUUUUGAACUUCCGGGCUGCGAAGUUUGGAACCGGGGAAAUAAAGAUCAGAUAGUUGGAUUAUAAAAGCCUCUGUUCAAUUGCUAAUCCAUCUUAAAUUUAUUUAUUUUUCUUGCUUGAUUGUAGUCCUCAUAAAUAUUUUCUGGAAAAAGCAUGGAAUACAAAGGUGAAUUGCUGCUUGAUAAUGAGCUUUGCAUACCUGUUCAUACAACUUAAGAGGAAGCUAUUAUUUAAUUUAGUCCUGAGCCAAUAAGGUUAAAUUGAAAUAUAAUUAUCAUUUACUGUACGGAUUUAAUAUUUUUAAAAAUUUUAUGGUCUUAUAAAUUGAAUUUUUUUUGGUUUGAAAUUUAAUUGCAAUUAAUAAAAUAUUUUCUAUUGAUUUUUAAUAGAAACUGGCCUGCUUGUAUACACGUGGCAUUGUCCUACUGGCUAAACGAAAAUUAAUAUCUCGUUAAUUAAGAGGUAGAUCCAGAAAAUAUAAAAAAGGUCCAGACACAAGGGAAGAAAAAAUCAAUUUGGCGAAAGCGAGGGAGAAAAAGGGGAAAGCAGGUCGUCCUUGUUUUUCAUCGGAGCUUCGAAAGUAUACACACUCAGUUCCCUGAUUUGGAUUGUGGAAAUAGAAAGGAAUCGGGAACAUGAAUUGAUCUGGACCGCUUCUAGCGACUGUGCUCGCUGCUUCCAUGGUGGCUUUCUUAUCAUCUUCUUCCCCCGAAUUCCACAAUGUUUCUUUCUUUUCAACCUCCUCUGAUCAGGUUUUCCUUUAAAUCUCCCCUUUCAAAACUUUAAACUUCCUUAUUGUAUUUUCUGUUGUCGCAAUGUCCAGUGAUUGAUUUCGAAAUAGAAUCUAGAUUUGCUUGACCUUUCCAAUUUCCCUCUCUUUAUUUGCAGCUUGAGUCUUUAAUUAGUUUUUAAAUUAUCCUACCAUUUCUCUACUCUCUUUUCUCGAUUUUUCUGUUGAUUUCUCUUUUUGCAGUAUUAACUAUGUCUUGAAUUUGUUGAAAAAUUUCGCUAUGGAUUUGAAAUAUAUAUUAUUAUUUUUGUUGUUAUUUGUACUUGAGAUUGAAUUGAUUAUUUAGCGACCAAAAAAUGGCGCCAUAUAAAUUAGCUAACUCUGAUAGCAAAAGUUGAAAAAAGUUGCAGGAAAAAAAUUAAGAAUAGAGAUGAUAGCAAGUAUGCUAUGUCAAAACGAAGCCUUCCAUGGCCAUAAACGGACACUGCCUUUUAGCUACCAAAUCUCUACUCAAAAUACUUACUGAGUCUUUUAUUUAAUAUCAUUUGAUCUAAGGUUAAUUUCUGAUGUGUAGGAUCAAUAAAUGAGUACAAAAGCAAGGAUGUUUUCCAGGAGCCAGAAAGACUACCUCAAAAGUUGUACAGCCACCAGUACCAGCUGUAUGCAUGUUCCAGUCUACUACAUCAUUUGACAAGGAUUUUUCUCAUCUUGAAGAAUUUUCCACUCAGGGAUAUACUCAUGUUCCUAAAAUCCCGACAAAAAUGCAAGCUAACCAAGAAGGGAGGACAACCAAAAUUACUGCUGCAGAAGCAACUAUCAACUGGCAGAUAGAGAAUGCUUUAGCCCAAAACUCGAUUCUCAAAAGCAUCAAUUCAAAAGUUGAUCAGAAUGACUCUAAAGUUUCUAGAGUUGAAGCUAAAGCUAAUUAGAAUUCAAAAAUGAUAAAUGAUUGUAAUAACAGAUUUUGCCCGGGCUUAAAAGGGCCCAAAUUACAAUGGGCCUAUGUAGCCCAAAACCUAAAAUAAGCAGAGGCCCUAAACAAUGGCCCAACACAAUAUCAGAAACCUUAGGGGUUCUGUGAUGAGUCUCGCGACGCAGCCACCUAGCCUCGCCCUCCGAAUCUCAGCCUCCGAAUCUUCAUCUGUGCACAAAAAAGGAAAUAAACAGUAUAUGGAAAACAAGAUCGAAGAUUUGCAAAUCAAAUCAAUAUAAGUAGAUUAGUUUCUUUAUAUAUUUUGAGAAUGGCUAUAAAAAGCCAUUAAACAUACUGUAAUAGUGGUCGAAAAAUUAAAUAAAAACGGAGGCUUUUACUUUCGCAAUACAGAGAUCAUAGUCUAUUAAAGGUUGAUACUUGUAUUUCUAUUUUAUUUUAUUUCAUUAUGUCUAUUUAUUUUUAUCAUUUAUAUAAAUAAUAUAAAUACAAAAGGAAGGAAAUAACCUGUAUUCGAGUCCUAACCGCCGCGGAUGGCCGAGGAAGUCGUCACCGAGGAUUGACGGCCGAAAACCGAAAGGUUUUCUCGAGAUUUGGGCCCUCUCCAUCAAUAUUUUGGCAAUUUCGGGGUUAGAUUCGAGUUUAAAGGCUUUAGAAGGGUCAGAUCUAAAAUUUUCAGCUCUUCGACCACCGCAUAUGGCGGCGGCGCCACCGGUGGCCGGUGCGGUGGCCGAUGACCGGGCGACGCCGGACUUAGGCCGGAUGACUGAAGAGGGGGGAGAGUUUCUUAAAAAGUUUUUUUUUUUUUUGAAAAAGAAUGGGAAAUGAAAUUUUUUUGGUUUAAAUUUGGCUUAAAUAAGCCCAUCAAAACGGCGCCGUUUUGAAGGAGGUGGGAUCCGCGCAUCGACCCGAUCCGGACCCAAGAUCCGCGCGUUUUGAUGCGGAGGGGAAAAUUGCGUUUUUAGCCCCUUCGCCUUUUAAUACUUUUACAAUUAAGUUUUUUUAAAAAAAAAUUCGCCUUUAAUUUGUAUUUAAUUUCAAUUUAGUCCUCUUCGAACAGCGCCGUUUUAGAGGAGAGGGGAAAUUUCCCUUCUAGCCCAUCUAUGUAAUUCGCGUGUUCAAAUUAGUCCUUUGGGUUUCAUUUAUUUGUGGAUUUGCCCCAAAAUUUUUCAAUUACUGUUCAAUUUAGUUUUUUUAAUAUUUUCCUAAUUAAUUUUAAUAAUGUAAUUGUUAUUUUUUUAUUUUUGUAAUUAUUUUUCAAAAUAUAUUUAUUUAUUUUUUAUGCGCAUUUAUAUUUUUAAACUAAUGUUUUUUUCAUGUAUACAUAUUUUUUUGAAUUUUGAUAAUGUUGACAUUAUUAAUAUAUUUUAUGUUUUCAUAAAUACAUUAUAAAUUUUAUAAAUCAAAGUUUUACAUGAAAAUUCAUUUGUAUGCCUCUAAUUCUUCAUGAUUUCAUUUAUUUUACUUAUUUUGCUCAUUUAUUUGAUAUUUUACAUGUCAUUCGUUAUUUUUCCUUUUGUCUUAAUUUAGUUUGUUUAAACUUCAUGUUAUUACCUCAUUGUUAUAAUUAUUGUUGUAUUUGUUAUUGGGACAUUUAUACAUGCAUUCAACCUAAUAUCACAUCAUUUUUUUUACUCGAUUUCAAACUUUUCAAAAUUGAGCGAAUGCUUGUAUUUAGGAUUUUCAAGGAAAUUGAGCCCUAACGUAUUGGGUUCCGAUUUUCUUCGUUAAAUCUAACAAUCGUGCAUUUCUCUUUAAUCAAAAAAAAAUAAGAAAUCAUUAUUGGGAAUUCAACACGUUGUGUCCUAACGCAUUGGAUGUGACGCAUUGAUUUCUUGAAAUGAAGACUUUGAAGGAAUUGUGCCCUAACGUAUUGGGCCGCAAUUUCUGAAAUCUUGAAUAAAUGGAUAUUCUUUUAAAUUUUUAUUGCAUGUAUUCUGGCCUAAUUCAUUUUUAGGGAAAUUAGAAUGUUGUGCCCUAACGCAUUGGGUGUGACAUUUUCCUUCUCUGAAAUGAUAAGGGUCUUAAUACGUAACGUUUUUUAAAGUUUUUUUGCUAAGGAUUAUAUAUUUUCAAACUCUCGACUUCAAGACAUUAAUUAAUCAAUUUGGUACCAAUUUUGGGCGUUACGAGGGUGCUAAUCCUUCUUCGUACGUAAUUUACUUCCGAACCCAUUUUUUAAAACUCAUAGACCAAAGCCGUUUUUUAGGUGAUCCAAUCACACCUUAAUAAAAGAUUAGUGGCGACUCCCAAUUUUUCAUCGACAACUAAUUUUUGUUUUUUCCAAAAAUAAAAAUGGUUUCGACAAUGAUCUUAUCGGGUUAAUGCAGAAUAGUUUGAAAGGACUAGCCAGAGAGCCAGCAGCACCAGGACAAUAUUUCUUCUCUCAUCUUGCUCAAAGAGAGAAAGAAAUCCAAAAUCUCAAGGAGCAGAUCAAGAUGCUAAAAGAAAUAGGACAAAUUCCACCUCCUAAACCGUCUAGGAAUGGAAUGGAAUUGAAUUGAAUUGUUCCUUUCAAUAAGGCAGAUAGACGCUCUACCACCUCCAACAGAAUUGAGAUUAACUUUUCCGCCACCAAAUAAAAAGAAGAAACCUAACACAUUUUAUUUGUUUUUACAAAUCAAAGCUCAAAAGAAAACGAAAAAAGAGGAGCAAAAAAAAAAAAAGAAGAAACAAGAGGAAGCGAAGAGCAAAAAGAAGAUAAAUCCUUGGGGAAACGCCUAUAAAUGAAGAAUAAUAGGAUUUUCCUACACCAAAGCAAGUGUCUAAGUCCCUGAUAAUUAGGAGAAUAAAUAUCAUUCAAAUCCUUUGUCAACAUUCUUAAAGGAUUAUAACCAGCAAAUACUUCCCAAAAUAACUGCUUUAUAAGAAGCCACAGAGGAAUCCAACUCCUCUGAAGAAUCCAGUGAAGAUGUCUCAGAAUCUUCUGAUGAUAUCUCAGAAAGAGAAAAAAGUCAAGUGAUAGCAACCACCCAACCAGAAGUUACAGUGGAAAUGUCAGAUGAAGAAAUGGGAAAUAUCGAUGAAACAUCAUAUGUUAGACCUCCAAAAUCUAUCUCAAGAGGAAAAACAACUUUCACCCUCGAUAAUAUUCCAACUUCCAAAUGGCCAGGAAGACUUCAGAAGUUUCACUCAUGGCUUGACACCAGAAAAUUGACAGAAGAAAGUCAUUACAGUAUCCUGUUAGAAUUUGUUUCCAGAUUUACAGGAAUGUUAAGAGAUUUGUGGAAUUCGAUCAGUCAAGUAGAUCAGAUACAAUUUUUGGUCUUAACAGAUUUAUCCCAAGCCAUUAGGAUUAUCCAUAAUCAUUUUAUUGGAAAUCUUGAAGAUCUCUUAACCUUGAAAAGAAGAAAAUUCUUCAAACGAAAAUGUUACUCUUACAAUAAAAAAGACUUAUCCAGGCAUUUUCAUGCUAUGACCAAACUUUUUUGUUCACUCGGUCUAGAGCAAAGUCUUAAACUUGCAGUUCUCGUAUCCAUACUAGAGCCUCUUCAAGUUGCUAUCAAUCAAAGUCUCCACAGGCAAAAUAGAAACAUCGUCAACCUGACAAUUGGAGAAAUCCAACAAGAAAUUUAUGUUUCUCUUGAAAACUUAUGCAAUAGAAAAAAGUUUUCAAAGACUAUCUCCAUGGUGAAAAACGGUUGGACAAAGCCUGUGAUGAUUCUUACCUAUGAAUGAAGUGUGGACAUGAAAAAUAUUGCUAUUGCAGGACAAAGAAGAAAAAAAGUUUCAGGAAAUUAAAAAACCCUAGUCUUCCAAGAUCCUUCAGAAGGAAAACAAAUUGGAGAUAUUUGAAGAAAAAAAGAUCUCCAAAGGGGAACCAAAUCAAAUAGGUGUUACAUUUUUAAUCAAAAGGAUCAUUUUGCAAAAAAAUUGCCCAAAUAACAAAAAGGGGUUUAAAAUAAUCCAACAAAUCCAGCAAGAAUCAGGAAUUAGGAUCAGAGAAGGAGAUGACCUCGAAUCAUUCAUUUCCAUUGAUGAUGAAACAACAGAACAACCACUAUUCAAGGAAUGGCCUUAGAGUCAUAUUUGUCGUCAAAUCUAUAUGAUUAAAGCCCAAAAAGCCCAAAUCCUCUCUACUACCACAAAAGUUUCUGUUAUUCAUAUUCCAGUUUCAAUCUAUUUGGAUAAAUACAGUAAGCCCAUAACUCUUAUCGCCUUUAUAGAUACUGGAGCAGUUGAGACUAUCAUGAAUCCAAAGAUACUGCCCAUAGAAUUCUAGAGGCCGCAGGUCUGUUAUUUCAAUUCAGCAGCAGAUCAAGUCUUUGCGACCCACUGGAUUAGUAAGCCCAUUAACAUCCAAUUUUUCUCAGGAUGUUUUGUAAAUACUACAGUAUUGGGAUCUGACCUCCCUAGAAAAGACCUUGUGGUUGGAUUUGACUUAUACACUAAGGCCCGACAUAUGAGGAUACUGCCAGAUGGAGUCUGUUACAAAAAAUGUUCAAACCUUUUGUCCGGAUUCCCAGAUUAUUUAUGAUUCAUAAAGGAAAGAUUCAGAAGAUAAUUGAAGAAUUAAAGAGCAAAGCAUGUGCUGAUUCACAUUCAGAAGUUAGCUGAAGAAGAAUGUCGACAGCUACAGCAACAAGGGUUGAUAGAAGGUUUAAAUUUUCAAUGGGCUUGUGAAGCCUUUUAUGUCAAUAAAAGAGCUGAAGAAGCUAGGGAAAAUUGAGGUUGUUUAUCAAUUACCAGCUUUUAAACCAUUUUCUCCAAGAUGAUAAAUUUCAUUUGCCAAAUUGGAAUUCAUUAUUCUCAAGUCUUGCCCAAGCAAAGGUUUUCUCUAAGUUUGACUUGAAGGCAGAAUUUUGGCAAUUAGAAAUUAACUCAGAAGACAGGCCUAAGACAAGAUUUUGUAUCCCAAAUAAGUAUUUCCAAUGGACAGUAAUGCCCUUUGGGCUCAAGACUACUCUAUCAUUAUUUCAGAAGGCUAUGAUAAAGAUUUUCUAGCCCAUUAUGGACCAUGCUUAGGUCUAUAUUGAUGAUAUACUUUUUUAUAGUACAAACCAAAAAGCUCAUGCAGAACUAUUAUAAUAAUUCAAAUAGUUCACACUGAAAUAUGGGAUUAUGUUGAUGAAAGAAAAAUGCAGAUCAAUAAAGAUUUAAUUGAGUUCCUAGGCAUGCAGCUCAAAGAUGGAAAGUACCAGCCAGACAAGCAUAUUGCAUAAGUAUUGCUCUAAUUUCCAGAAAGUAAUUUAUCAAAAAAACAAGUUUAACAAUUCUUAGGAAUUCUUAAAAAUCUCUCUUUAAAUUUACAAAUCCUUUGAGAAUGAUGUUAAAGAAAGACCCUCCUCCAUAGAGUACAGCUCAAACCAAGUAAAAAUACUUAAAGAAUAACUUUAGCAACUGCCACCAUUACAUAUUCCAUCAGAAGGAAAAAGAAUUCUCAAGACAGAUGCCAGUGACAAAUAUUUGGGGGGCCAUACUCAUUGAAGAAAAAGAAGGAAAAAUAUACUUUUACGGAUAUAAGAGUGGAAGGUUCUCUAAUGCAGAAAUGCAUUACCAUUCAACCUUCAAAGAAGUCCUUGCAGUAAAAAAAAGUAUUUCAAAGUUUGAUUUUCAUCUCAUAGGAUAUCAUUUCCUUAUAGAGAUGGACAUGUCUUCCUUCCCAAAAAUACUAAUGUUCAAACAAAAGGAUGGCCCUCAUCCUCAGCUGUUAAGAUGGUCAGAAUGGUUUUUUAAAUACUCAUUUGAUGUUAAACACAUUAGGGGAAAAAUCAAUGUUUUAGCUAACUUCUUAACCAAACCACCUGAAAAAAUCUUAGUGAUAGCACAUUCAUCCUCAUCUUCUCAAACGAAAAAAGCCAUCUUAUCAAACCCCCCACUUCCUUUCAGUACUCAAUAUGUGCCACCUAAUUCACAUCCUGAACACUCACUUGAAGUAUUGAGUCUAAUCCUUGAAAAAAGAUUUCACAAAGAAGCUCUGAACAUGAUGUUUUCUCAUCAACUUGAUGUUUUCAAAAACUGUGGGGGGUUAUACCUAAAACCUUUAGGACUACAUUUAGAAUAUCCAUUUAUUCAUCCGAUUAAACUUCAAUUUACCGAAUUCCCUGAUGAAUUAAAAUGGAUGUUAUGGUAUCUUACCCACUUAUAUCACAUUGGGAUACAGUUUGAUAUAUUGGAUCUCCAAUAUUUUCUAACUGUUGCUUAUCAAGGACAAGAGAACCCAGAACUCCACAAUUGGGCUACCUUUCUUAAAUGGUUUUAUCUUUUAAAUCAGUGGUUGGAUAUGAUUACCUUGACACUUGAACAACCCAAAAGAACACCUCAUUCAAGUGUAGUAAUUAUUUUUUAUGAACCACAAUAUUUUAUGCAACAUGGUGCAUCAACCCAAUUAGGAGCAUUUCCAACGGCUUGGAUUCACAAGACAUACAGCUCAGAGGUUGAUACAAAUCCUUAUAACUAGGACUGUGCAUAAUUCGGUUAACCCGAUUUUUUUUGGUUAACCGGCCGAGUUCGGUUAAUCGGUCGGUUAAUCGAAAAAAUUCGGUCGGGGGUCGGUUAAUUUUUUUGAUUUUUUCGGUUAAUGGUUAAAUCGGUUCGAAACCGGUCGGUUAACUGAAAAAAAUCAGGUAAACCAAAUUUUGCAGUGUAGGGCCUAAAAUAGGUCAAAUUAAACUCGGCCCAAUUUUUUCUCAAGCUCAACACCGAACUUUUUGGGUAAUUUUCGGGUAAUUUUCGGGUAAUUCGGUUAAUCGGGUAAUUCGGGUAAUUUUUAACCAAAAAUAAAAAACACAUAAUUUUCGGUUAAUUCGGUUAAUCGACCUUAUUAACCGAAAAAAAUUCGAUUCGGUUAAUUUUUUUUAAAAAAAAUUCGGUUCGAUCAACGGUUAAAAAUUUUAGAAGGUCGAUUAAUUCGGUUAUAACAAUUUCGGGUCGAUUAACCGAAUGAACACCCCUACUUAUAACUACAAAGCACUGCAAAAAUAUCUCUGCCAACUUAACAGAACCAUUCCCACAAAGAUAUGACCACCAGGAGAUGUACUAGCACAUUGGGACUUUAAUACAGAGCUACCGACACCCUAUCAAAUAGAGUUAAAAAAGGCACUCAAAGAAUAUUAAAAAAAUAUUCCAGAUCUAAAAAAGUGGUUACAAGAUUACCUAUGGUUUUGUAGCAAUGCAUGGAAAGACACACCAACCUGGGAUAAGGACAAAUCAACACUAAUGGACCUUGACAGCUCACCAAAUGAUAGCAAAUGAGUAGAAAAACUCUACAAGGCAAAGCUAGAAAAAGAAAUAAGGAUUGAAGAGUAAAACCUCACAUCAGAUGUCAGAAUACAGUGAUUAAAAGUGGAUUUCGUCUGGUCAUUAUUAAAAGUUUGUAUCAUUUUACUUUAUCUUUUAUAAAAAGGUUGUAAAAGGAUAUUCCUCCUUAUCUCCAUAGUAGUUAGAAAGUUGAUUUCUCUCUUAUCAGUUGUAGAAAAAUCUUAUCCAAGUUUUCCUAUAAAAGAGAGAAAUAUACUUAGUUGUAGGUAGAUCGAAAUCUAUCGAUAAAAAUUUCAGAGUAUUUUCCUAAGACUCAUAUCUCACUGAAACUCUUUCCUUCUUUCUUUUCUGAGCAAAGCCUUAAGGCAAUUUGAGAAUGAAUCUCUCAUGAGUUUAUGAGUAUGCUCUGUGCUUGUCAAACUACGGAUCCUGCACAUCAGAAAUUAAGCUUAGAUAAAAUGAUAUUAAAUGUUAAAAGACUCAGGAAGUAUUUUGAGUAGAGAUUUGGUAGCUAAGAGGCAGUGCCCGUUUAUGGCCCUGGAAUACCUCGUUUUGGCAUAGCAUACUUGCUAUCAUCUCUAUUAUUAAUCCUCUUCCUGCAGCUCUUUUCAACUUUUUGAGCUGUACUCCAUGGAGGAGGGUCUUUCUUUAACAGCUUUCUUAAAGGAUUUGUAAAUUUAGAUAUUUUUGAAAUAAAAUCUAGGAUAAUUUCUUCCUUCUACUUAAAAUAUUAACGUAAGCAAACAGUUUAUACAUUAGUCCCUUAUGUUUAAAAUAGUACGUUUUAGUCACUUACAUUAACAUGUUAUAACAUUUUAGUCAUUGAACCAUUAAUUGUUCUUAAUAGUGUAACGGUAAGCUGACGUAGCAUGUUAAAUCAUCAUUUCAAACAAAAAUUUUAGGUUAUAUUAUACAAUUGGUUCCUAUAUUUUUUCGUUUUGAGCAAUUUAAUUUUUUCCUUUUAUGUUCUUUUAACUUUAUUUUUUCAUUCUCUUUUGCUUCUCCCUCUAUUUUCCUCCAUUCUCCAUCUUUUUUCCUUCUAUGUGUUACAUUUGUUAAAACUAAAGGGAAAGAAGAAAAAAAAUAAAAAAAAUAAAAUUGUUCAAAAAAAUAAAAGUACAAGGACUAGUUUUAACAAAUAGAAAACAUAAAAAAAAUUACGUUAAAAGAUAUGAAGGGAGGAAAACAAAGGGAGAAACAAAAAAUGUAAUCACUGAAUAUUGUCCGACAUGAAUUUGCAUUUUUUUUAAAAUUACAUUUCGGCCCCUAAGUUUUUUGAAAUUGCAUCUUAACCCCUAAAGUUUCUUGAAAUUAUGUUUUGACCCCUAAAAUUCCUAAAAUUAUAUUUUAAUCCUUAAAUUUUCUCAAAAUUACACUUUGACCCCAGAAGUUUUGCUGCAUUUGCAAUAUGGUCCUUCUGGCAGCAACUUGCACAUCUACCCCCGUGAUUUCCGGCCACCCGCCUAAGGCAUGGCCUCCCUCCCCCUAGCCACCUAAUCCCUGCAAAAAAGAAGCAACAAAUCAGCUAUAAAAAGGGGUUUAAACCCCAAAAUCAAGGGGGGAUGACAAAAAAAUCUCAAAAAAAAGAGAGAAAAAAAGCUUUGAUAAUAAGAGAAAAGGAGAGAGAAAGGAGAGUAAGAGAAGGGAAGCGUCGGGAGCACAUCACCGGGCAGCAGCAACGGCGUCGACGGCAGCGAAGGAGGCUAGAUCCGAGAGAAGAAGAGGAAAAAAAGAAGAAAAAAAGAGAAAAAAAAAAGAAGGAAGAAGAAAAAGAAAAAAAAAAGAAAAAGAAAAAUAAAUUUUUAAUAGUCGGGUCGACCCGACCCGACCCGGCCCGACUGACCAACCCGACCCGAGCAGCUUAGCAGCCCACCAGCAGCCCCCAGGCCGAAAAAAAGAAAAAAAAAACAAACAAAAAAAAAGGAAGGAAAGCAGGAAAAUAAACCAACAGGCCCAACAGCCUAGCAGGCCAACAGCCCAACAGCUUGGCAGGCCAGCAGGCCCAUUACAGCAGCAGGCCUACAGAUUUGGCCCAACAAACAGCAGCCCCAGGCCCAACAGCAGUCAGGCCAGCCCACCCAGCCCAGUCUAGGAAAAAAAGAGAAAAAAGAGAAAAAAGAAAAGGAAAAAAAGAAAAAAGAAGUCCGAAUUAUGUAACCCGGUCAAUAAAGCUCGUAUUUUCGGGCUUUUCGGUAAUUUUUUUUACGCACUUUUAAUUUAAUUUACACAUUUUUAUGACAUUUCAUAUUUAAUAUUCUUGUUUUGUUUUUAAGCAUUUUUUUUAUUUUGUAUUAGGUUUUUUAAAGCAUUUUUUUAUAGUCGUAUUUAAUUUUAUUUAAUUUCAUUAAUUUUAAUUUUCACAAAUAAGGCGACGAACCAAUUUAACAUUAAGCCGUAUAUUUUCAUCGCUAUGUUGGGUGAAUAUAUUUGGCUCGUGUUAAAUUAGGGACGCCCUUUUAAAAAAUUGAAAAACUUAAAAAUUCUCAUGUUUUAAAUUUUUUUUUCGUGUUUUCAAAAAAAUUAAUAAUUGUUUCAAAAAUCUUUGUGUUUAAAAAAAUAAAAAUUCUCGUGUUUCAAAAAUUUUCAUGUUUUCAAAAAACAAUUUUCGUGUUUUCAAAAAAUUUUUAUCGUAUUUUAUAGAUUUUCGUGUUUUAAAAAAAUUUCGUAUUUCUAAGAUUCUUGUAUUUCUAAAAAAAAUUUCCGU
RNAcentral lists this long non-coding RNA (63330 nucleotides) under Gossypium barbadense (sea-island cotton). RNAcentral describes it as "long non-coding RNA (GBAR_LNC020452)". The record is from RNAcentral. Lineage: Eukaryota; Viridiplantae; Streptophyta; Magnoliopsida; Malvales; Malvaceae.